RNAcentral lists this long non-coding RNA (47837 nucleotides) under Eutrema salsugineum. RNAcentral's name for it is "long non-coding RNA (ESAL_LNC001542)". Lineage: Eukaryota; Viridiplantae; Streptophyta; Magnoliopsida; Brassicales; Brassicaceae. The record is from RNAcentral.
CAUCUCCAUCUUGCGUACGCAACUUUUAUAUAUGCGUGAGAGUAUAUUACACCAAAUGUGAUAUCAUAUUAUAUAUAUAUAUAUAUAUAAGAGUUAAUUAGAGAUGCAUAUAUAAUAUUAAUGAAUUAUUAUUUUUUCGUUUGUUUUCAUUUCAAACUCCAAAUGCGUUUCGCAACAAAAUGAGUAUUUACAAAUAAGUGGGGAUAAAAGGAAAAAGGAAAUUAAUUUUGAAAAAGGAAAUUUAAAAAAAAUAUAUUUAUCAUUAUCAUUAUAUUUUGACAUAGAUAAAAUGAGCCAGAGCUUUUUAUUAUUAAGAUAAGGACAUAUCAAACUCAGGUUAUCUCCAUUAUUUAUUGAAACAGAAAAUGAGAAGAUCAUUUCAACUUUAGUUUUGUUCUGAAUUGCUGUUGGUUUAGUCUCAUGAUAUUAUUCGAAUUACUGUCUGCUGCUACUGUUAGUUUAUACAUAUUAAUUGGUUUUAUACUUUUGCUACCAUCACGACAAUUCUGAGAAAUUUCCUUCUUUAAAAUUUUUUAUCUAUCAGGUCCUUCCCAAGUUCAUAAUGUCGCCACUAUAAUCUAUCGCUGUCUUUUUCAUCACAUUUUGUUUUUUUGUUUUUAUAUUAAAGUCUAUCCAUUUUUGAAAUAAAUACUGUUUUUAAAUGAUAUUGUUGUUGUCAUGCAUAGAGUAGGCACGAAUCUUGGCGACUUUUUAAUCCAAUAAUUAAAACCAUUUUGUUUCAUUAGUUCAUUAGUAAACUUUAGGGUUUCAGCUGCAUUGCAGAAAUCAUGGCGACACUAUCCCGAUUUUGAGCAUCUCCGUGUGUUGUUUAACUUUUAUAUACGCAUGCGAAUAGUAUUAUAAUAACUUUACGAACGAACAAAAAUGUGAUAUCAAAGUAGCAUAUAAGAUUUUAUUAGAGAUGCGUAUAAUUAGUCUAUUUUUUUUCUUUUGUUUCAGAUUCUAAAUAUGUUUCACAAUAAAAUUAAUAUUAAAAUAAUUAAAAAAAGGAAAAACGAUAUGAAAAACGAAACACAAAAAUUAUAAAUAAUACAAAGAGGAGAAUGUAAAUGUUCCAAUCAUGCUAUCCGAAUACAAAAUCAACUAAGGAGCAGUCUGAUUGCACUGAUUCUUCUUUCUUUUUUUCUUUUUCCUAUGAGUAAAUAUAAGUAGAAUUUAGAUUUUACAAUAACCUCAAUCUACUUUGUUACCUUGGCAAAAAUAAUUAAAAUGUAUAAAGAAAAAUACAGUUGGUAGAUUAUCGCAUCUAAGCCAUACGGAAAUUAUGUUUCCAAAGUGUCUUCUAGGUUUUUUGGAGGUUAUACUACUGUUGCGAAUCUCUCGGUUGAUACACUAGUAGAUAGACAGUGUCGGAAGCGAUAGCUGAUUGUGUCAGAUUGCAUUAUCUAUAUGAUUGUGUCUGAUUCGUAUCCUGAUCAAAUCUUUAAUUAGUUUAUUAUUGAAUUUGGUCAUAUCUUAUCAUAUAGAUAAGUUAAUUAUAAGUGUGUAUGAAAAAUUAUAGUUAACCGUGACUUGUAAGGUAAGUUUGGAUAUUUAUUGCUUUCUGUUAAGUUUUUGAGCUUCCAACUCAAAAUCAAUUAACAAUGAGUGGAUUGGUCCAAAUCUCUUCUUUUUCUUUAUAUAUAAAACUGGGACUUUCACAACUUGUGGGAACAAACAUCAGGAAACCUCCAACCAAAAGGGCCCAAAGAUCGGAUGGAUGGCUCUGAUACCAUGUUAAAUAUGAGUUUAUAGGCUUCUAACUCAAAACUAAUUGGCAAUGAAUAAAUUAUCCCAUAUCUCUUAUAUACUACUAAAAAUCUCUUCUAACUUCCGAUGUGGGAUAAUAGUCCCUAAUACUUUCACUUUUUGAACGUUAUCAACGGUUAGUUUCGGUUUAAGAUAACAAUUAAUGUAAGAACACACUUUCACUGUGAAAUAUGCAUUGAUUCGUUUUUAUAUCUGUGUCGCCGUCUCGUCCAAGUUUCUUUGUCCAAGUAGUUAUUUUGAUGACAACCAAAAGUCGUUUCCUUUCAUCUAUUCUUUUGCACAUCAUUAUGUCCUGAAUAAGCAGUAAUAUAUAUGGCAUCUAAAACAACUUGUCGAUUUUGCAUGAAAGAGUAGGUCGAUGGUGAAUAUGAGCAUUCUUUUUUUUUUUCUAUAAAUCGUACACUGAAGCGUCGCUGAAAAGUUGUUGUGUCUUAUAUCGUUCUCUGUUUAGCCUCAUGAUAAUAUUCGAGUUAAUGUGUGCUGUUGCUGGUUUAUGCGUAUUGGAACGAGAAACACAAACACAAAACGAGUUUAUUAUAUUAUAUAUUCAGAUCGAAACAAAAGUACACAGAACAUGAUAUUACACCUAGAGGGAGAAGCAAUGAUAAGCUUUGCCCUUGAUGUUUUUAUUUAGAAGCAAACGAAACUUGAACAUAAACAUACACACAUGUCAUGUCUUCUCACACCGAAUGGAUAAAAGUUACACUUGGUAAUCAGAUAAGGUUAUAUAGCCUUUGUGUAGCAAUGGCAAUGCUCGUCCGUUCCCUCAAUAGCCGCCCAACAGACUGGAGGACUCCCGUAUUUGGUUACACAACAGAUGCAGCAAUCAUUAUGUGUAGUUCCAUGCGCAGGCUCGCACUCCCCGAGGAACACACGUGUAAUGGGCGUUGAGCAUCCACCAGGACAGUCAAUAGCCUCGCUCUUGAGGAAUGCUAAAUGUUGACAUAUUCAUCAAAAUCAUCAGCACAAGAUAUAAUUAAAAGACUAACUGAAAAGUAUAAUAGAGAACUUGGUUAAACUAUAAUACCGGUUGAAGCCAUCACGAGGACAAGCAAGAGAACGGUGAAGCUGACGGAGUUGAGGUUCUUUGCCAUUUCUUUCUUUUUGUUUUGCUUUUAACUAAAUCUUGUUUUCUCUUCUUUUUUAUUUUCAACAAACUUAACUUUGAUGAUACAAAUCCAUAGGCGUUGUGAUUAUUUAUAGUCAAAACAUUUGCAGCUUAAUUUGUUAUACUUGUUUAAUCCCUCCUCUAGUUUACCCAAAUUCAUAAUGUCACCACUAUUUUGCAUAGUAAUCUUUUUCAUUACAAUAUAUAUAUAUAUAUAUAUGAAUAUUUUUUAAGUCUAUCCAUUUUUAAUCGUGCACUUGUCUUAAAGAAUCAACCAAAAGCAAGGUCAUCUCUGUAACUCAUUAUUUAUAAUUCAAUUUUUUUCUUUAAUUAGUUUGAAAUAGCUAUUGCUUAAAAAUGAUAUUGUUGUUGACUUGUUAUCAUGGAUACUGGAUAGAGUAGUACGAAUCUUGGCGACUUUUUAAUCCAAUAAUGAAAACCAUUUGGCUUCAUUAGUUCAUUAGUAAAUUUUAGGGUUUCAGCUCCAUUGUAGCAUUAUGGCGACACUAUCUUGAUUUUGAGCAUCUCUACCUCGCAACUUUUAUAUAUGCGUGAGUAUAUUAUAAUAAUUUUCUAUAUGUACCAAAUGUGAUAUCAUAUUAACAUAUGUACAUAUAUAUAUAUAUACAUAAGAUUUAAUUAGAGAUGCGUAUAUAAUAAUUAACUAGAGAUUAACCUAUAUGAUAUACGAGAUUACAAUAUCUUAAAUAUUAUCUUAGAAAUUAUUUUCAAUAUCUUGGUUAAUAAAUUUAUUUAUAUAUAUACAUAUGCAUAUACUAACAUCAUAUAAUUAAAUUUACCACAUAAAAUUAUAUUUAUUAGGUUAAUAAAUUUUAUAAUAUCUUUAACCAAUGAUAAUAAACAAUACGGUUAAAGCGGAAUUCAUUUAACCCUUUUACAGUGGACUAAAAUAUUAUUCAUAUUAAUCCACAAAAAUAUAAUAUCGUAAUCAUCAAUUGUAAUUCGCACCGUUUAAAUACUGAGUUUUAUGAUCGGUCAGCGAACUAUAAAAAAUAUCAAUUUUAUCAUAGUAAUGUUGUUGGAGGUGAAAACCAUAUUUCUGGUUUUUUCUGGUAUGAACCGAUAUCAGCCUGAUUAAAUCUGAUUGACGACAGUAGAGUACUAAAGAGAUUAAACCGGUUCAACCUGUGGACCAACAUGAACCCAACAAGAGAAAAAAAGAAAGUUUCCAUUUUUGACUUAUAGAAAAAAAAAUCUCUAAAAAAUCCUAAGUCAAAAAGGAAAAUAAAUGUCUCGGUUAAACUGAUUAUAGGAGUGGAAGUCUCCUUAACCUACUGGUUAAUGAGUUUUUUAAUGCUUUUACAUUAGGAGAACUGGGUUACUAGUCUCGAAAAUUACGUUUUGUUAUUAUUUUGCAGGGUGAUAUUAUAAGAAUGUAUUAAAAAUGAGAGUCAUUUGCGAUUCACAGAAAAAGAGACUUCGAGACUGAGAGCUAAAAAUCAUUUUACUUUUAAUUUUGAGAUCCUUGCUAAGUCCCAGUUUGUUUAUUAUUGUCAGAUAAACAAACGCAGUUGUAUUAAAAAAUCGAAUUUUGGUCUAAAUAAUUGUUAUACCGUUUUGUGUUGAUAUAACAUAUCAAAAAGUGUAUAAGAGCUGCGUAUAAUUAGUUUAUUUUUUUUUAUUUUUUCAGAUUUUAAAUGUUUUCACAACAAAAUUGAUAUUUACAAAUAAGUGAAAAGGUGAAAAACGAUAUAUAUCAUGAAAAACGAAACACAAAGAUCAUCAUAUAUAUUAUAAGCAAAGUAAAAUUUUAGCUUUAAGCCUUUUUAUUCAAUUUUGGAGUGGAUAAUUACUUUUUACCCCUUGGUUAAAUUUGGUUAAAUUGGUUCAAAUUAAGUUUUAUAAAAAAUACAUUAAAAUCGGUUAAAAUGGUUAAAAUUAAGUUUUGUGUAAUAUGGGAGAAAUCGUAGAUUGGUUUUGUGACUAUAAAUAUAUCUUUUCCCCGCAGACGUUAGGGCAUCCCAAUAACGACAUUGGCUUUGUUUCUACGUUGUUGGAUAUUUUUUUAAUGCUUUCCGUCUUUGGUAAAUUUUUUUUCAUGCGUGCCUCUUAAUUUGGUUUUGUGUGCUGUUCGUUGUUCUCCAUAGUUAAUUGAGAAAAUAAUUUUGAUUUUUGGGCUGUGUAAGUGGGUCUAUCUCUAUGAUAUUUGCUAGCUAUCACAUCGUUACUGCUUUGUCGCGGUAUAAUUUUUUUGUGAAUCACGUUUAAGGGUUUGCAUGUUUUGUUUUGCAGCAUUCUGAUUUAGUCUCUAUGCGAUUGUUUUUAUUGUUUUUGAGCGUCAGUCUUUAUCUAAUGGUUUACUUCUUUGAUGUUUCUGAUCUGUUUUUAGAUUGUAAUAGUUUUUUUUUGUUGUUUGUUUGUCGUCUUACUUCCCUUCAUUGUUUUUUUUGCUGCAUAGGUUCUGGCGUUUUGCAGUAGGAUUGCCUACCUCGCUGGUGGUUGAAUUCUACAAUGGUGUUCAGAGGUAAAGUUAUUUAUUUCUAUGUUUUUCUUGUAUUUUGUGAUUGUGUUUUUUAGUUGUAUUUUGGGGAGGUUUGUUCGAUUCAUUUUCUUUCUUUUCGUCUGGGUUUAAUUCAAGUUUUGUGUGGUCAUAGUUAGUAAUUGGAGAAGACAAAACAUGAGAAACAAAAAUAAUAUCAUUCUUGAGGCAUGACUUUGACACAAUCAUCAAAGCUUCUUCUAUGAUAUGUUUUAUUCUGUUCUAUAUGUUUUUUCUUUUUAUUUUUAAUUUCUUCAGUUUCGUAACUUUUUAAGUUUCUCCCUUUAUUUUACGAGAAUAUGAGGCAUGUACUCACCGUUGGAUCGAAAAUUUUAUUAUAUAUGAAUUUAAUUUGUGAUUGCGUAUUUUUAUUCUUUAAAGAAUAAUAUAAUGGUAACGGAGGAAGAAUAAAGAAUCGGUGACAGAAUUUACCUAAACGACUUAGGUCGAGAAGAAGAUAUAACAUGAUGGUAGCAAUAAAGAUUCUUAUAGAAUAAUAUCAUCGAUUAUUUGUGAUAUUCUAUUAUUUGUUUAUUGUCUUUUAGGUUUUUUGGUUAUUAUAAUUAUUCUUAGAUAUAUAUAUAAAUGGCCUAAAAAGUAAUUUAGUGUUUUGUGAUUUUAUAACAUGAAGAAGAAUCUAUCAUCCAUUUGUAUAAACUACGGUGAGGAGAAUUACAAAUGUCAGUGGUUUCUGAGAUUUUCAUAUUUUUUUGGUCUUAUAAGAUUUCUUCUAAAAUUUCUUCUCUUCCUUUGCCCGUUUUUUUUUUCUUUUAUUGCAGUAUCUAAAAAGUUAGUCAUGCGGAAUUAAUUGAUUAGUUUGUUUUUUAGAUUGUGAAGUUUGCUGUGUCAGUGUUCUAGAAACCUACUAGCUGAUCAACAAAGGAACCGGUUAACGAACAAUUUUUUUUUGGAAUCAUACUUGUGGCUAGAGCUACGAGUGAUGUAGGAAGGAGGAUAGUUGAUAUCUGUGAAAAAAAUUGUAGCCUGUUAAAGCAUUGGUCCUAAACUUUCGAUAGAAUUUUUAUUCUUGUGUAUUUCUAAUUUGGGCAACGUGAGCAAUGCCUUUAACUAUUGUGUAAAAUUUCCACAUGUUAGAAAUGAAGAAAAGGCUCAGAUAUCAUUACUAUUUGCUUUUCAACCUGAACUUCAUCAGUUUGUUUCGUGAGUUUCUACCUUCUUUAAAUAUGCUGAGCUGUUUCUGGAGUAGUGGAAAAGUAAAAUAAAUUAUUUUCCUCUGAUGUUCUUUUGGAGUGGUAUAUUUUCUUUCAUUGUAAUUUGUUUGAAUGUCGAAAUCCAUUUUUGAUUUUAUUUAAGUUAUAUGAUUGCAUUUAAAAUGGUUUCAAUGCUAUAAUUUUCAUCAUAUAUACCGACGAGAAGGAGCUGUAGAUAUUAUUAUGUUGAAUCCAAACUCGGGCUAUGAGAUUAUCUUAAAGUCACUAAGAAAAACUAAAAAGAUGAAGACAGAGGAUACGAAGACGAAGAGGUUGUUUCAAGAAGAGGGUACAUGUUAGAACGGUUAGAUAAAUAUGUAUCCAUGUUAUCUAUUUGCUUUUACUUCACCAAAUUCUGUGAAACUGACUGUUUGUGUAAAUAUAGUAAAAGCCAUACAACUAUGAAAAUAUACGUUCAAAAAUUUUCCAAACUUCUAAAAAAUAGUUAGAAGAAAGAAAAUACAAAUGUAAUAGGUAGAUGUGGAAGAAUAAGAAGAAGAUAAUACAAAGAUGAUAGAAGAAAACAAAGAAAAUGAAGUAAAAAAAAUAAAGUCAAAAAAGACAAAAACGAUAAAGAAUAAGUAGGAUUUGAAAACGAUAGAGGAUAAGAAGGAAAAAACAAAAAAUAUAUAAAAAACUAAAAGAUGAAGAAGAGGAAAAAAAAAAAAGAAGAAAUCAAUUAAGAAAAUAAAAAAAAUAAAGAAAAGAAAUAUAGGCGGAUAAGACCAAUUAAGACGGUCUAAGGUAGAAAAAUUAUUUGUCGCAUAAGUAGUACCGUCAUUAAGGAUGCCCAUACCUAACUACAUGGUAGUGAUCUAGGGAACGCAAUUGCUAGAACAAAGAAGAAUCAAAUGACAAAUUUGAAGAAGAAAACAAAAUAAUUAGAAAAAGAAGUCGGAGAAGUCGGAGAGGUCAGAGAAACCAAUACAUAGUAGACAAAAUGGAAGAAGAAAAAUAUGUGGAAAAGUUGAAUAAAGAAGAACAUAAGAUGAAGAAGACAAAGUAGACAAAGAUGAAGUUGAUGAAUGAGAUAAAGAAUUAUUAGAUAAACAAAAAAUCAGAGAAUUAUUGGAUGAAGAAUUUUAAAGAGGAGAAGAUGAAGAAUUUGGAGAAAUGUAGGAAUAAAACAAAAUAGAAUAAUUUGAAAAUGAGGAAAAAGAUAACGAAAAACAAAAAGAUUAGAAAGUUGCAGAGAACGAAGAAGAUGAAGGUGAUGAAGAAAAGAAGAAAGAAAAUAGUAUAACCUAAAAGAACAAGAAGAACAUGAACACAUAACAGAAUGGGAACAAGAAGUACAAAUUAAAGACGAUGAUGGAGAUGAAAAGAAAAUGAUGAAUAAUAAGAAAAUACAGAGAUGCAUAACAAGAAAAAGAAGUAAAAAUCAAAGACGAAGAAGAAAGAAGAGAUAUGGAAAAGAUAAGUGACAAAGAAAAACCAAAGAAAAAAAAGGAAAAAGAAGAAGACGUGAGAGAAGAAGGUGGAAGAUAAUUACGAAGAAUAAAGAAAAGACCGUAAAAAACUAAAGAAUAAAGAAGAGAAAAAAAUGAUUGUAUUUUUUAGUGUUUAAUUUUGUAAGUUAUUUACUUUUGAAUUACUUUUUUUUUAUCAUGUACGUCUUAAGUGGUGGUUUUAAUUCUCUCGAUUUAUAGCAUAAAGUUUGGAUUAUGUUUUGGAAACUUUUCGACCCGCGUAAGCCGCGGGUUAAACACCUAGUUAUAAAUAAUACAAAGAGGAUAAUGUUCCAAUCAUGCUAUUAUCGACUACAAAAUUAACUAAUAGGAGCAGUCUGAUUGCACUGAAUCUUUUUGUUUUUUCUUUUUCCUAUGUAGAAAUCUAAGUAGAAUGAAAUAUUUAGAUUAUAAAAUAACCUCAAUCUACUUUGUUACCUUGGCAAAAAUAAUAAAAAUAUAUAAAGAACAAUACAUUGGGUACGUAGAUUAUUGCAUCUUAGCCAUAUGGAAAUUGUGUUUCCAAAGUGUCUUAUAUGUUUUCUUUCAGGUUAUAGUACUGUUUCCAAAGUGUCUUCUAUGUUUUCGUCCAAGUUUCUUUGUCCAAGGUGUUAUUUUGAUGACAACCAAAAGUCGUUUCCGUUUUUCUUUUCUUUUGCACAUUAUUAAUUGUGUCCUGAAUAAGAAGCAACGGCAUCUAAAAAAAACAUGUCGAUUAUACUAUAUACAUUGCUAUGACUGAGUAGGCCGAUGAUGAAUAUGAUCACUUUUUUCCAUAAAAUCGUACACUGAAGUCUCGCUAAAAAAUUGUUGUGUCUUAUAUCGUUCUCGGUUUGGCCUCAUGAAUAUAUUCGAAUUAAUGUGUGCUACUGCUUGUUUAUUCGUAUUGGAACGAGGAACACAAAACACAAAACGAUUUUCUUAUAUUGUAUAUUGAGAAUAUAAAUAUUAUUUUCAAUGUUUUCUUGUAUUUCAAAUGUAUUUCAGAAGAAAAUAAAUAUCUACAAACUAGUGAAAAGAAGAAAAACUAGCGUGUGGCGAAAUGCCAAAAGCAAAAUUUUUGAAUACAAAACCAGAUUACAAAAUAAUAUGAAAUAUCAAAAUUUUAUACCGAAUUACGAUAAGUGAUUCAAUUGAUGAUAUAGAAAGAGAAUUCUUGGUUCAGUUCUCCACCUUAAGGGCAGUUACUUGAUCCUGAAGUAAACCGAGUCCAAAAUAUUUGAAAUUGAAUGGAAUCAAGCAAAUUAAACGAAAUCAUUAAAAAAUAUUUUUGAACUAGAGAGAUGUCUUUUUUUUCCCUUUUUAACUAAACAAAAGCAGGUGUAGAAGUGAGAAUAAUCUGCAGAUUAAAAAAGUGUAUUAAAGGUUUUGUAUAUUUUAUGCCAAAGUGUGUCAGAAAUCAAAAGUGUAUUAAAGGUUUUGUAUAUUCAUAUGCCAAAGUGGCCUUUCGAUUUAUACAGUUUGUUGUAUACACAAGAAGGAUAUAUACAAAAAUAUAUACAAUGAUAUAUACAAGAAUCAUAUGAAGUUAUUUCAAACCCUUUUUUUUUUUUGUAGCAAUGGCAGUGUUUUACGGUUCCUUCAACUCUCGUAUAAGAGUUGAUUAGAGAUGCGUAUAUGACACGAGCCAGAGCUUUUUAUUAUUGAGAUAAGGGCAUACCUUACUCCUCAGGUUAUCUCCUAUUAACUGUUGUGAUAGAUAAUGAGAGAUCAUUUCAAAUUACUGUCUGCUGCUACUGCUAGUUUAUGCGUAUUGGUUGGUUUUAUAAUUUUGCUACCAUCACGAUAUAUCUGACCAAUUCCCCUAGAAUUCCUACUUUUAAUAUUUUAUUUCAGGUCCUUCCAAUUUUAUAAUGUUGCCACUAUAGUCCAUCACCGUCUUUUUCAACACAUUUUGUUUCCUUUUUUUUUAGUAUAUUCAUUUUUUAAUCAUGCACUUGUCUUAAAUAAAUAAUUAACGAAAGGAAGGUCAUCUCUGUAACUCAUUUUUUAUUUAUUUAAUUUUUCUUUAGUUUAACAUAAUUUUUUUUUUUUUUUGUCGUCGACAUAAAUAUUGUUUAAAUAAUAUUGUUGUUGUCAUGGAUAUAGACACGAAUCUUGGCGACUUUUUUAAUCCGAUAAUUAAAACUAUUUGGCUUCAUUAGUUCAUUAAUAAACUUUAGGGUUUCAGGUGCAUUGUAGCAAUCAUGGCGACACUAUCUCGGUUUUGAACAUCUCCGUGUUGUCUAACUACUAGAUAUGCAUGUGAAUAGUAUUAUAAUAACGUCACAAACGAACAAAAAUGUGAUAUCAUAACGGCAUAUAAGAGUUUAUUAGAGAUGCGUAUGAUUCGUAUUUUUUCUUUUUCAGAUACUAAGUAUGUUUCUCAGCAAAAUUAAUAUUUACAAAUAAGUGAAAAAAUGGAAAAAACGAUAUGUAUUCUGAAAAACGAAGCACAAAGAUUCUAAAUAAUACAAAGACGAGAAUGUUAAUGUUAAUCAUGCUAUUCGACUACAAACUCAACUAAGGAGCAGUCUGAUUGCACUGAUUUUAUCAUCUAUGUCACUGUCCUAUAUCGUUCUCCAUUUAGCCUCAUGAAUAUAUUCGAAUUAAUGUGUGCUGCUACUUGUUUAUUCGUAUUGGAACGAGGAACACAAACACAAAACGAGUUCAGUAUAUUAUAUAUUCAUGUUGAUACCGCGUAUCACACAAAGAAUUUUUAUUGAUGUUAUAGCUGAACUCAAAAUGAGCUGCCUACGUACCUUUGAGAAGGGAUCAAGCUAUUCGUAGUUCUAUUAUUAAAGUUUUGAAUCCCCCUUGAAAGAAGAGAAGUAUCUUCUAUUUAUAGGGUUUGGAAAUCGGUCUUUCUGAACGAUUUCCUUUUUCUACUUGGAUUUGGAUUCGGGAAUAUUUCCUUUUAUUGGAUAAGAUUAAGGAAAUAUUCCGUAAAGUUUAGAUGUUAAUGCCGACAUUGUAAAUCGGGCUUUAGAAGACCAUAAGCUAUUAAUGGGCCGAAUGUCUUUUGGAUAUGAACCAUCGUAAAUCGGGAUCAAUUGGGCCGAUCUCGGUUCAUACCGGACUAAACCGGGGAUGCAGAGUACACCACCAACAGUAAGCCCCCCCCCCUCAGUCCGGUGAUAGAGUAUGUGUAAGAGUUCGGCGGAUUUCAUGAGUAUUUUUAGUCCGGUGUGAAUUGAGAUUGGAGACUUGCGAGGCUGUUAGCUCGGCUUAUAUGAUUUUCAACUCAGUCUAUUGCGAAUUGCGAUAACUCGGCUUACAUUUGCGAGUGUUGAGAACUCGGCUUACGGUGCGAAUCUGAGGUGUUCGGCUUAGUUUGUGCGAGUUAAAUGAACUCGGCCUGGGGGACCCAAGUGAGCUUUCUCGUGCUGGAAGAGUGAAAUUCGAACUCUUGUAAACACACGAUACAGACUCAAGGUUUCCUAAGUCGAACCAGAGUGUGCGAGAUGGGCUCGGCUUAUUGUUCUCGGUGACUUAGGAAUAAGUAAUGCGGGACUGGCCCCGGCUUUAAAAAUUGUGGAUUCUUUCACCACGGCGCCAUGUGGAUGCUUGCGAGACGGAUCUCGGCUUUUUGAGGUUGCAUUGUUGAGAAAUGUUAUCGAACAACUGGCCAGGAAGUCGAUGUAAUACCGAUGAGUUCGGUCGGGACUGCGAACAUGUUAGUUCGGCUUGGAGGGACGGACCCUGAAUUCAUCGGAGCUUGGUUGACGAGGUGGGAUAAGAUGAGCGUUGUGUAGCUCGGUAAAAGAGAUUGUUACUGAUAAACGAUUUGAAAAUUCAAGCUGACGGGUUGAAAGUGACGAACUGAAACUCUGAAUCAAGGCUGAAUCUGAUGAUCUGAAGUUCUGAGCGAAAGUCUGAGUGGAAAUAAAAUUCUGAACCAAGCUGAAUUUCUGAACCAAACUCAAAUUCUGAUUCAAAACUGAAAUUCUGAGAUUCUGAAUUUGAUAAACUCAAGUUGAUGACUUGAAGCUGAAAUUCUGAGCCGAACUGAGUUUGAAUCAAAAAUGAAACUCUGAAAUUCUGAAUUUGGCGAACUCAAGUUGAUGACGAAACCGAACCGAACUGAUUGAACUGAAUUGAUGAACUGAACUCGACGAACUAAAACAGAGAUCUGAAUUCGACGAACUAAAAGUCUGAGCCGAGCUGAAAUCAUAACUCAAAACCGAGCUGACUAAGCUUUGAAUCGAAACUGAAAGGCUGAACUGAAAUUCCAGAGAAACCUCAAACUGAACUGAAAUCCCAACUUUCUGAUAUAGAACUUGACGAGCUGAGGCUGGCGAUAAAGGUGCUGCAGUGUCAGCUCGGAGCUCGUCUAAAGAGAGCUUCCCAUAAACUUUUGCGAACUGAUUUUUCUUCCUAUUUUCGUUUUUUUUUUUUCUCUUUUUUUUUUGGCGAACCGUAGCUCGGCUUGGAAGUACAGACCCUGUGAUAGAAUGGAAAAAAGAUCUCGAUAGAUGAUACCUGGGUUUCGCGGAAGCUCGGUUGGCGAGCUGGUGAGAUUUCAUAGGUGGUGAGAUUUCAACGUUUAGGCAUGAUAACUUCGAGUUUUCGAUUACUUCUUUGAGCUUAAUCUGCAUCUAUUGCUGAAGUGACGUCGUUGGAUCAAUAAUUUUAGUCCUGCGAUGUGUUGAUAAAAAUUGUGAAGAUAUCUAUUUUCUUAGAAAUUUUGGAUCAUAAUACUUAUAGGAAAAGAACUUAGCUUUUUGGUGUUAGUGCUGGAUUGUGGAGCUCGGCUCUUUGAUGUUCAAUCCUUGUGAAGAUCUGAAAUAUUAAGUUCUCUCUCGAUUUACUCUAUCCAUCUCUCGUGAACUGGAUGAGAAACGGAUUGACGAGGUGCUUCCGAACUGGUUUUUAGAUUCCGGUAAAGAGCUGGUGAAGCCGUGCGGCGAGCUGAGAUGACGAUGGUAUCAGCUAGAAGUUUCGACAGAAGAUUAGAACCGAACCAAUAAAUCUUCUUAAUCUCAGUGUAGUAUUUCUAGGAUGUCAUCGGGCAUUGAAGCUUGGGAAUUGUUGCGAAUCUCUGAAGUUUUCCGAGCCCAGAAUGAACAUGAAAGCUCUUGAUGGAGAAUUUCAGGAACUAACUUUCGAAAUCCAAAAAUGGAAGCGACGUGUGUUUUCUCGCCAUGAUAAUUUGAAGCAAGGAAGAAGAAAGAUCUCGGAGGUUCUUUGAUGGAGCUAACGAUGGAGAUGGCUCAGGUCGGGAAAUCUGCUGUUCGCCGGAAGUUGCAGGUCUGAUAGGAGGGUCCCCGGAUUUGACUUGACCGGAACUACAUCUGUUUCACCGUCAAGAGAGGUUUUGAGGACAUCGUGGAGAUGGUUUGGAAUGGGCUAUAGUCUUCAUAUCAAGGGGCCAUAAAGUGGGCCUAAUAUCUCAAGGUUUCAGAUGGGCCAGAGAUUUAUUCAAGCCCAAAAAGAAACCUGAUUUCCUUGCAAUACGAUUUGGUUUUGGUGCAGGUGCGGCGGUGAGUAGCGGUGGCGAAGCCGGAGCUCCUGGAAGCUCGAGUGGUGGCGACGAAUGAUGGGUCUCAGAGUGAGGUGCCUCCUAGCCCCUACUCCCUCCCUUUUUUUUUUAAACAAACAAGCUCGGCUGCUAUGAUUCCACGUGGAUCGUAAGUUCUGUUGGCGCAGAUCUUCUUCUUCCUUUUAUUUUUGUGUGCUUUUUUCUUGGUUUUGCCUUUUGUUUUGAGGCUUGAACAUAGUAUAACGUCUCUUGCUCUGAAUUGCUGUUGAAGACUUGAGUCAGGACGAGCUGAUUUAAAGCUGCGUCGGUGGUGAAGUUGGAGAAGUCUGGAGAAGUUGUGACGACCUCCUCUUCGUCUUUUGCUUUGUUUUUAAUCACAAAUCAAUGGUGAUGAGCUCGGUUUGAGGCGACGUCAAUUGUGAUUAGCUGAGACAACAUUUGAGGAGCUCGGCGAGAUGAUGCCUGUGCAUUUGAGGAGCUCGGCGAGAUGAUGUCAGAAGCUCUGGAUUCUCUCUUGUAAAUGCCAAGCUUUUAUAUCCUUGGUUGUUCCUCUUUCUUGUGCUUCAAAAUCAACUAUCUUCGAGUCGAAAUUCUAGAGUGAACAAACCAAAUCUCCGACGAUAUUUGACGUGAAAGGAGCGGCGUUAGAUUUUGCUGUGCAACUUUCUCGCCACAGUUCUGAAGCAAGGAAAAGGGGAAAGUCUCAGAGGUACUUUGUGAAGUGUUCUUCGUAAAGCUGCUGUUGAUUAUUGUUUCCAGUGGAGCUGGAAUUUUUGGAACGGCAUAGAAGACAAAGCCAGAGAAGAUCCGAUACUGAGUUUCCAAGAGAGAACGGUGAAAAAGCAAUCAUUGAUCGUUGCCGCGAAUGGUUGUCUUUGAUCCGCAUCUGAUUCGGUAUUCAGAAAUUCAAUCAAAUAUCCACAUCGCGAUUGGUUUUCUAGUUAUCGGAGAGAAGUGCCAUUGGGGAAGAUGUUGAAGACCGAUGAGUUAAGGGUGAGUUUGUGAACUGCUCACGAAGAAUUUAGCCAUGACGAACUGAGACAGGGCCAUGGGAGCUCGAUUUUGCAUAUACCGAUCUGACGAGCUCAAGCAGAGCCAACAAACUCGAGCACAAUUUGUAAGGCAACGACUUGAUCGAUGACGUUUUUUUUUUUUUUUUAAUCUUGGAGAAGUUGUGACGACCUCCCCUUCUUUUGCUCUUUUAUCUUUUUUUUUUUUGUAAAUCACAGAUUAAAGGUGAUGAGGUCAUGGAUUCCAUGGAACGUGGUCGUGUAGUAGGCGUCUCCAUAGAGAAUUAAAAACUGAGUCGUCGAGCUCUCGUCGGGUGAGGGAGAGUCUUUGCUUUGCCUGUCAUAGGAGGAAGAGCCGUGUAAAGAAGAAAACCAUAUAAUUUGAUUUUGUGUCAUGAAGCGUGAAUUAGUUAAACAUUACGUUAUACCAAUUGGUUAUUGUAAACCAUUGGUUAUUGUAAAUCAAUAAUAUACCAAACCGUAAGUAAAUAAUAAUUAAGCGUGAAAACUUAGCUUUGUAUUUGACGUCUCGUCGGCGUUGUCAAAGAUCUAAGGUCCUGAUUCGAGAUCAUAAUUGCUAGGCCACGAAAGAGUGGUAGAAAGUUUGACGUAGAGCGCAAAUAACCGAAUUUGUUUAUAUGAUGGAGACGGUCUCGGUUGUGUUGUAAAAGAGCUGUGUAAGUCGUCAAAAAUCAUGGCUGGUAGAGACAACAGAAGAUCAGAUAUAUACUUUUAUCAUCCGUUUUUUUUUUUUUAAAUCUCGACUCCUUCCUUCUAGCGCCAAUUGUUGAUACUGCGUAUCACACAAAGAAUUUUUAUUGAUGUUAUAGCUGAACUCAAAAUGAGCUGCCUACGUACCCUUGAGAAGGGAUCAAGCCAUUCGUAGUUCUAUUAUUAAAGUUUUGAAUCCCCCUUGAAAGAAGAGGAGUAUCUUCUAUUUAUAGGGUUUGGAAAUCGGUCUCUCUGAACGAUUUCCUUUUUCUACUUGGAUUUGGAUUCGGGAAUAUUUCCUUUUAUUGGAUAAGAUUAAGGAAAUAUUCCGUAAAGUUUAGAUGUUAAUGCCGACAUUGUAAAUCGGACUUUAGAAGACCAGAAGCUAUUAAUGGGCCGAAUAUCUUUUGGAUAUGAACCAUCGUAAAUCGGGAUCAAUUGGGCCGAUCUCGGUUCAUACCGGACUAAACCGGGGGUGCGGAGUACACCACCAACAGUUUUACGGAACUAAGCUACUACUGAUACAUUUCAUCAGCCUCAGUCUGCUAGUUUCUUUUUAUCUGCUUCAGCUCGUCAAGUUUUAUAUCAGAAAGUUCGGAUUUCAGUUCAGCUCGGUUUUAGUUCAAAAUUCCAGUUCAGCUCUGAAUAUUAAUUGGGUUUCGAAUCCAGAGCUUCAGUCAAUUUGGUUUUGAAUCAGAAUUUCUGCUCAGUUCAGAACUUCAGAAUUUUUCAGUUCGUCAUCAGAUUUGGACUUCGGAACUUCAAUAUUAUCAGUUUUGUUCAGAAUUUCGAGUUUCAGUUCGGUACAACAGCUCAGUUAGUCAGACAAGUUCAGUUCAUCGACUUGAGUCCGACAUCUCAGAAUACACUCUUCUGCCGAGCUAUACCGCGCUCAAACCUCUUCUAGCUCAUCAACCGAGCUCCUCUGAAAUUCAGGGUCCGUCCCUCCAAGCCGAACUGACAUGUUCGCAGUCCCAACCGAACUCAUCGGUAUUACAUCGACUUCCUGGCCAGUUGUUCGAUAGCAUUUCUCAACAAUGCAACCUAAAAAGCCGAGAUCCGUCUCGCUAACACCCACAUGGUGCCGUGGUAAACUCCACAUCAUAAAGCCGGGGCCAGUCCCGCAUUUUGUAUUCCUAAGUCACUGAGAAUAAUAAGCCAAGCCCAUCUCGCACACUCUGAUUCGACUUAGGAAACCUUGAGUCCGUAUCGUGUGUUUACAAGAGUUCGAACUUCACUCUUCCAGCACGAGAAAGCUCACUUGGGUCCCCCAGGCCGAGUUCAUUUAACUCGCACAAAUUAAGCCGAACACCUCAGAUUCAUACCGUAAGCCGAGUUCACAACACUCACAAAUGUAAGCCGAAUUAUCGCAAUUCGCAAUAGACUAAGUCGAAACUCACAUAAGCCGAGCUAACAGCUUCGCAAGAAUCCACCAAUCUCAGUUCACACCAGACUAAAAGUACUUACGAAAUCCGCCGAACUCUUACAUAUACUCUUUCGCCGGACUGAGGGGGGGGGGCUUACUGUUGGUGGUGUACUCCGCACCCCCGGUUUAGCCCGGUAUGAACCAAGAUUGGCCCAAUUAAUCCCGAUUUAUGAUGGUUCACCUGUAGAAUAUUUCCUGAUCUUAUCCGGAAAAAGGAAAUAUUCUCAGAAGAUAAUUCCUCAAGGAAAAAGGAAGUUGUUCUUAUCUGCUCCAAGAAAUAAGGAAAUCUGCAUUAUCAAGUCAAGAAGGAAAAGGAAAAUCGACCGGUUUCAACCUCUAUAAAUAAAGAGCUCAUCGUUCAUUCAAGGAUUCAUUCAUUCAUAACUCCGCAGAAAACCCUAGAAUACAUCCUAUUUUUCUCUCUGUAAUAUGAACUACGAAUGGCUUGAUCCCUUCUCAAGGGUACGUAGGCAGCUCAUCUUGAGUUCAGCUAUAACAUCAAUAAAAACUCUUUGUGUGAUACUCGGUAUCAACAAUUCAGAACGAAACAAAAGUGCACACAACAUGAGAUCACACCUGGAGGGAGCAAGCAAUGAUAAGCUUUGCCCUUGAUGUUUUAUUGGAAAGCAAAGGAAACUUGAACAUAAACAUACACACAUGCCAUGUCCUCUCACACCGAAUGGAUAAAAGUUACAUUUGGUAAUCAGAUGAUCCUUUUGUAGCAAUGGCAAUGCUUGUCGGUUCCCUCAAUAACCGCCCAACAGACUGGAGGACUCCCGUAUACACGUUUACAACACUCGCAGAAAAUAGAAUUUGUAGUUCCGUGCGCAUCCGGGCACUCGUCGAGGAACGUAAUUUGAGCGGUGCUAGUGCAUGGGUUAGUACCGCAGCCUGAAGCCUCGCUCUUGAGGAAUCCUAGAUGUUGACAUAUUCAUCAAAAUCAUCAGCACAAGAUAUAAUUAAAAGACUAACUGAAAAGUAUAAUAGAGAACUUGGUUAAACUAUAAUACCGGUUGAAGCCAUCACGAGGACAAGCAAGAGAACGGUGAAGCUGACGGAGUUGAGGUUCUUUGCCAUUUCUUUCUUUUUGCUUUUGCUUUUAGCUAAAACUUUUUUUUUCUUCUUUUUCUUUUCAACAAACUUAACUUUGACGAUACAAAUCCAUAGGUGUUGAGAUCUAUUUAUAGGCAAAAAAAUUCAGCUUAAUUUGUUAUACUUGUUUAAUCCCUCCUCUCUUCUCUCAAGUUUACCCAAGUUCAUUAUGUCGCCACUAUUUUGCAUAGCCGUAUUUUUCAUUACACUAUUUUUGUUUUUUUAAGUCUAUCAUUUUUAAUCGUGCACUUGUCUUAAACAAUCAACCAAAAGAGAGGUCAUCUCUAUACUCAAUAUUUAUAAUUCAUUUUUCUCUUUAGUUUGGCCCUGUUCGUUUGUCAGCCGCCUGCGGCCGCGGCUGCGACCUGCGGCUAGACGCUGCGACCAGACGCAGAUGAUUGUUGUUUGUUUGUCAGCCGCGCAUCUGGUCGCUGAAUGAUGCAGCACAAUAUCUACCAUUGUUGCAAGGACAAAGAAAGCUUAAAUGCGAGUUCACUAAUCAGGUCACAGCAAAGAGAAAGAAUAAUCAAAUGCAAAAACAGCCUUAGACCCUUGAACACUCUAAUAUGGUACCAAACACAAACACACACAGACCCAUUAAGUAACAGAUUAGAGAAGGAAAUAACGAAAAUUGAAAAAAAAAGUGAAGUUUUAUAUUUAUAGAUUCGACCUGGGAAGAGAGAAGAGGAUUGAUGGAGUUUGGAAGGUGGGUUUAAAGCCGCUUUUGCUCCCGAUCCAUUAAAAUUUUAAGCUCAGCUGAUGGAGAAGAUGGAGAAGAUGGAGAAGAUGAAUGGGGAAGAAGAGUUUCGGCGCAGAGAGAAAGAUCGACACUUUUUUUAGGGUAAAUGGUUUUUGUAAUUAACAAAUUGUUAUAGGGUUAGUUUUGUAAUUUACAGUUUUAAACGCCGCGUUUUUUGUCGCAACGCUGGAUUUGAUAGCGUCCAAAAAAUUAAAGACACGCGGAACGCUUGGAUGCCGUGUCUGGCCGCAGGAAGCUGCGUUAGAGUAACGAACAACAAUCGGACAGCCGCAGCCUCCUGCAGCAAGCAAACGAACAGACCCAACAUAGCUUUUGUUUAAAAAUGAUAAUGUCAUUGUCAUGGAUAGAGUAAGUACGAAUCUUGGCGACUUUUUAAUCCAACAAUGAAAACCAUUUGGCUUCAUUAGUUUAUGAGUAAACUUUAGGGUUUCAGCUGCAUUGCAGCAAUCAUAGCGACACUAUCUUGAUUUUGAGCAUCUCCAUCUUGCGUACGUAACUUUUAUAUAUGCGUGCGAGUAUUAUUAUAACUUUCCAUAUGUACCAAAUGUGAUAUCAUAUUAACAAAUUACAAACUAGAUAAAUACCUGCAUUGGUUUGUAUCUUGAUAUUUUAUAAUCCCUGAAAUUUUUUUUAAAAAUAUUGCAUAAAUUUAGAAACAAAAAUAUUAAUUAUAUAUAUGUAUGUAUAUAUAUAUGUAUAUAUAUAUAUUGAAUGAAAAUUUAGUGAAGUGAAUGCAGUAAAUAGUUGUGGAUACAACUAUUGAGAUUUUCAUUUUUUUAUAGUGUAAUUGACAUACUAAAGAAUUAUGGUUUUUAUAUAAGUGAGAAAUUGAAAUUUUUUUUUAAGAUUAAUUUCUUUAAUCUAGAUAAAAAAACCUAAAAAUAAUAAUAUUUUAUUUAAUUUACUUAUCUAAUCUGAAAUAUGCUUUUUCUUUUCUUAUAAAAAAGUUUUGGCUUUUUAUUUCAAAUUUUUGUUCAAUUUUCCUAAACCAAGCGUGAUUAUUAUUUUUUAAUUUAUUUAAUACAUGUCAAAAUCUAAUUGAUUUAUUAAAACCUGUGUCAAAAUUAGGUGAGUUAUUAACUUUAAAACAUCUUCCUUUAUAUAAUAAGACUAUAUUUUGCGUUCACGCUACUUGUGGAUAUUUAGUUGAUAAAAAUUAUAUACAAUCAAUUAUAUUUAUUAAGAUAUAAAUUUUAUAUAUGAAUGUUUUAAUAAUACAUAUUAAAAAUAUUAUGGAGAAUUCUAAUAAUUUUACUGUAAAUUGUGAGGUUUUAAUGGUUUUGUUUUGAAUCUAUAUACAAUAUGUCAUAUUUCAAAACGUAUUAUUUGGUCAAACAUUUAUAAGUUAAUGACAUUUUGUGUUUUUCCUUUUGAAAACACAUCCUACUCCUCAGGUAAUCUCCAUCUAUUCUAUUAAAACAGAAACAUUUUUAGUAGUUGCUUCCAAACACUCCUAAUUUUUUUAAAAAAAUUGUUUGGAAAUAGUUUUAAAAUUAUCCUAAAAUCAUCCUAAUUUAUUACAAUAUUAUUUAAAAAAUAUAUAUUUUUUAUAUAUAUUUUUAAUUCCGAAAAUUAGAUAUUAGUUUAGAUAUUUAAAAAUUUCCUUAAAUAUAGGUUAUAUUUAAUUUAAAAUUCAAACUUAUUAAUUUUUGUAAUUAAAUCUAAUUCUGAAUAAUAGAUAUUAAUUUAAAUUACUUUAGACUUCCUUAAAUAUAGAUUUAUUUAAUUUAACAUUUAAAAUUCAAAUAAUAUUUUCAGAACAACACAUAUGAUUAACAAAUACUUUGUUAUAUUUUUUUAAUUAUAUUCAAUCAGACUAAAAUUUCAUAUAUUGAAAACUGAUAAAUAUUAAUAUUAUAUAGUAAUUUGAUGGGAUGUGUUAGGUUUUUUUUAUAAUUAUAGUCUUAUGCGGAUUAAGUUAUCAAAAUAUGCAAGAUAUUAAAAUAAAAAUUAUUUCAAAAGUAGUAAAUAUUUAUAUUAUAUAGUAAUAUGAAUGGACGGGUUAGAAUUAUAGUUUCAUAGCCAUAGUCCUUUUCAGAUUAAUAGAAUGAUCGAAUUAUAAAUAUAUUGUUAUAAUAACAUUUAUUUUUCGAUUAAUAGAAUGACCGGAUUAAAAUUAUGUUUUGAUGAUCGUGGUCAUAAUAAUACUAGAAAAAAAUUUUAAAAUAUACAUAUAGAUUGUUUAUGUGUAAAUUUAAAUUCACAUAAAAAUAAAGUUCAUAAUUAACAUUAGAUCGAUAUAUAUUUAAUUAAUUAAUACUCUUAUUCUACUAAUAUACAAAACUAUACUAUUUAAAGUCAAAACAUAAUAACAAAUUUCUUGAUUUAAAAAAUAAAUAAAUAACAAAACAAAUUAUAUCUAAACAAAAAAUAAAUAGAAGUUAUAUUAGAAACAAAAACAAAAUAUUUCCGUGCGGAUGCACGGAGUCAAAUUCUAGUUAUUUAUUAAAAUAGAAAAUGAGAGGUCAUUUCACAUUUAGUUGUGUUUUAAAUUGUUCUCGGUUUUGUCUCAUUGAACUAUUCGAAUUACUGUCCGCUGCUACUGCUAGUUUAUAUGUAUUGGUUUUAUACUUUUGCUAUCAUCACGAUAAAUCUGACCAAUUCACCUAGAAUUCCCUCUUUUAAAAAAUUUAUCUUUCAGGUCCUUCCAAUUUCAUAAUGCCGUCAUUAUAGUCCAUCGCCGUCUUUUUCAUCAAAUUUUGUUUUUUGAUGGCUAUCCAUUUUUAAUCAUGCGCUUGUCUUAAACAAUCAACAAAAAGAUCAUCUCUAUAACUCAUUUUUAUAUAAUUCAUUUUUUUUUUUAGUUUGAAAGAAUAUUGUUUAAAAAUGAUAUUGUCGUUGUUAUGGAUAUAUAGACACGAAUCUUGACGACUUUUCAAUCCAAUAAUCAAAACCAUUUGGCUUCAUUAGUUCAUUAAUAAACUUUAGGGCUUCAGCUGCAUUGUAGCAAUCACGGCGAAACUAUCUCGGUUUUGAGCACCUCCAUGUUGUGUAACUUCUAUAUAUGCAUGCGAAUAGUAUUAUAAUAACUUCACAAACGAGCCAAAAUGUGAUAUCAUACUAGCAUAUUAGAGUUUAUUAGAGAUGCGUAUAAUUAGUUUAUGUGUUCCUUUUCAGAUUCUAAAUAUGUUUCACAACAAAAUUAGUAUUUACAAAUAGUGAAAAAGGGAAAAUGGAUAUUUAUUCUGAAAAACAGAACACAAAGAUUCAAAAUAAUACAAAGAAGAUUCUAAAUAAUACUUGGACAGCUAGAGCUUUGUCUUUUGCGGGCAGGCUUCAGUUGUUAUCUUCUGUUAUAGCUAGCAUUACGAAUUUCUGGAUUUCGGCAUUUCGUUUACCAUCAAGUUGUAUCUCAGAUAUCGAACGUAUCUGCUCUGCAUUCCUGUGGUCGGGACCUGCGCUUAAUCCUCGCAAAGUUAAGAUUGCCUGGGCGGAUGUCUGCAAACCGAGAGAUGAGGGAGGUCUGGGUUUAAUCAGCAUUCGGGAAGCGAAUGAUGUUUGCUUGUUGAAAAUUGUGUGGAGGCUGGUCACAGCAGAUUCUCUUUGGGUUCGGUGGACUCGAUCAAAUUUAAUGCGGCAUGAGUCUAUUUGGACAACUCCUGAGCCUACAAAUAACUCUCCAGGCUUGUCUAUGUGGAAGCAGAUUUUGAGAAUGAGACUGCAAGCUGAGGGGUUUGUUAAAGUUCAGAUUGGUAAUGGUCGAUCAUCGCUGUUCUGGUACGAUAACUGGUCGCAACAUGGAAAGCUUCUCAAUCUUCUGGGAGCUAGGGGUGUGGUUGAUAUGGGUAUAAGAGACGAGGCGAAGGUUGCGGAGGUUCUCUUAACCCAUCGACGGAGACGACACCGUUCACAGGCUCUGAAUUUGGUUGAAGACGCAAUCGACUCUGCAAAACUAACUUCAUUACAGAGUUGAUACGGAAGAUCAAUUUCUUUGGAGAACUAAGGGUGAUACUUAUCAUCAUGCUUUUUUUUUUUUUUUUUGAAUGAAUGUUAAAUUUGAUUCAACCCAAAAAAAAAACGUUUUUACAUCAAAAGAUGCUAACUAGUGAUAGUUGCAGAGAGAUUUUGUAAAAACCAAAACACUUUUACAAUCGCACUUAAAGUGAAGCAUAUGCUUCGGGUCAUGACGUUGCUUGCGCAGCAAGCCAUCGACGGAGACGACACCGUUCAAGGGGAUACAAAGGCUACUCGUGAUCAAGUCCGAACAAAAGGCCCGAAGACUCUCUGGUCCAAGGGGAUUUGGUUCAAGCAUAACUGUCCAAAGUAUGGUUUUUUGGCUUGGCUCGCAAUACAUGAUUGCCUCUCUACAGCUGAUCGAGUGUCCAGGUGGAGUCCGAAUGCUUCUACGGCAUGUGUACUAUGCCAAGAUCCCUACGAAACACGAUCACAUCUCUUCUUUGCAUGUCCUUUCUCAUCUCAGGUAUGGGAAAAUCUGGCACAGGGAAUUUAACGCCAAGACUUCACAACUGAUUGGUUGGCGAUGGUGAAUCUCAUCUCUCGAUCAUACGGAAAUAAGGUGCAGACGUUCAUUCUUCGAUACCUUUUUCAGAUGACUAUACAUGUUCUAUGGAGAGAAAGAAAUGAUCGCAGACAUGGUUCCACACCAUCUACCGCAAUUCGACUGAUCCGGUUCAUUGACAAGGGAAUGAGGAAUCGCUUCAGCUCUAUUCGUUUACUUGGAGACGCCAAGUACGUAGAAGGUCAGGACUGGCUGGCAUCCAGGCCUAAAUUUCUUAGAUAGCAUAAACAUGAUUUUUUUGAUUUGAUUUUGUAUGUAACCACUAGCAAAGCUCGCAUCAAAUUGAUGUAGAAAAAGAUGUUUUUUUGGAGUUUGAAUAAAUUUAACAUUCAUCCAAAAAAAAUACAAAGAAGAGAAUGCUCUAAUUAAUAUCAUGUUAUUCGACUACAAAAUCAACUAAGGAGCAGUCUGAUUGCAUUGAUUCUUUUUUUUCUUUUUUUUUUUAUUUUUCCUAUGAGUAAAUAUCAGUAGAAUGAAAUAUCUAGAUGUUACAAUAACCUCAAUCUUUGUUACCUUAGCCAAAAUAUAUAUAUAUGAGUCAAGAGAAGAUCAUUGGAUGGUUGCAUUGAGAGUUGUUCGUUACUUGAAAGGGUGUCCGGGAAUGGAAAUUUUGUUGAAAUCUGAUUGUAAUUUUCACAUUUGGCCAUAAGGUUGGAAAGAUUAUUUCAUCUUAGCCAUAAGGAAAUUAUGUUUCCAAAGUGUCUUCUAUGUUUUUUUGAGGUUAUAGUGUUGCGAAUCUCUCGGUUGAUACACUUGUAGAUAGACAGUGUCGGAAGCGAUAACUGAUUCUGUCUGAUUGCAUUGACUUGUUUCCUGAUCAAACUGCUAAUUACUUUAUCAUUGAAUUUGGUCAUACUAGCUUAUAAAAUAGAUAAGUUAACUAUAAGUGUGUUUGUAAAUGUCAGUUGGAAUUAUAGCUAACCGUAAAUGUCAAUUGAAAUUAUCAACGGCUAGUUUUGGUUUAAGAUAACUAUUAAUGUAAGAACACAAGUUUCAGUCUGAUUGCAUUGAUGCAUUUUUAUAAUCUGUGUCGCUCUCUUGUCCAAGUUUCUUUGUCCAACUAGUUAUUUCGAUGACAACCGAAAAUCAUUUCCUUUUUUUUUUGCACAUCAUUAAUUAUGUCCUGAAUAAGAAGCAAUAUGGCAUCUAAAAGAUACUUGUCGAUUAUACUAUAUAUAGUUGCAUGACUGAGUAGGUCGAUGGUGAAUAUGAUCAUUCGCUUUUCCCAUAAAUCGUACACCGAAGCUUCGCUGAAAAAUUGUUGUGUCUUAUAUCGUUCUCGGUUUAGCCUCAUGAAAAUAUUCGAAUUAAUGUGUGCUGCUGCUGGUUUAUUCGUAUUGGAACGAGCUGGAACACAAACACAAAACGAGUUUAUUAUAUUAUAUAUUCAGAAGGAAACAAAAGUACACAGAACAUGAGAUUACACCUGGAGGGACAAGCAAUGAUAAGCUUUGCCCUUGUUGUUUUAUUUGGAAGCAAAAGAAACUUGAACAUAAACAUACACACAUGUCAUGUGCUCUCACACCGAAUGGAUAAAAGGUACACUUGGUAAUCAGAUGAGGUUAUGUCAAAUUCAACCCUUUGUGUAGCAAUGGCAAUGCUUGUCGGUUCCCUCAAUAAUCGCCCAACAGAUAUUUGCACUCCCGUAUGCCUUUAUACAACAGUCGCAGCAAAUAGAAUCAGUAGUUCCGUGCGCAGCCGGGCACUCAUCGUGGAAAGCGAAAGGAGGGCAGGUUAGAUCACCGCACUUAAUAGCCUCGCUCUUGAGGAAUCCUAGAUGUUGACAUAUUCAUCAAGAUCAGCACAACAAGAUAGAAUUAAAAGACUAACUGAAAAGUAUAUAGAGAACUUGGUUAAACUAUAAUACCGCUUGAAGCCAUCACGAGGACAAGCAAUAGAACGGUGAAGCAGACGGCGUUGAGGUUCUUUGCCAUUUCUUUCUUUUUGCUUUGCUUUUAACUAAAACUUGUUUCUUUUUCUUCUUUUUCUUUUCAAAAAACUUAACUUUGAUGAUACAAAUCCAUAGGUGUUGUGAUAUAUUUAUAGUCAAAAUUUUGCAGCUUAAUUUGCUAUACUUGUUUAAUCCCUCCUCUCUUCUCUCAAGUUCAUAAUGUCGCCACUAUUGUGCUUAUCCGUUUCUUUCAUUACAUUUUUUUUUUUUAUGUCUAACCAUUUUUAAUCGUGCACUUGUCUUAAACAAUCAACGAGAAGAAACGUCAUCUCUCUCGAACUCAUUAUUUAUAAUUCAUUUUUUUCUUUACUUUGAAAUAGCUAUUGUUUAAAAAUGAUAUUGUUGUUGUCAUGGGGCGAAUUUUAAUCCAAUAAUGAAAACCAUUUGGCUUCAUUAGUUCAUUAGUAAACUUUAGGGUUUCGGCUGUAUUGCAGCAAUCAUGGCGACACUAUCUUGAUUUUGAGCAUCUCCAUCUUGCGUACGUAACUUUUAUAUAUGCGUGCGAGUAUAUAAUAAUAACUUUCCAUAUGCACCAAAUGUAAUAUCACAUUAACACUUUGCAUAUAUAUAAAAGAGUUAACUAGAAAUGCGUAUAUAAACUAUUAUGAUUUUUUUUUUUUCGUUUUCAUUUCAAACUCCAAAUACAUUUCGCAACAAAAUGAGUAUUUACAAUAUAUAAAUGGGAAAAAGGGGGAAACGAUAUAGUGAAAAACGAAAGUGCACACAACAUGGGAUCACACUUGUGGGGUGCAAGCAAUGAUAAGCUUCUCUCUUUGCUCAUCUAUUUGUUGUUCACAAUGUAAAGAUAAUACAACCUUAAAAGCUUUGUUUCAAUAGAGUUUAUCUCUCUUCUUGAUUGAUCUUUAUUUGUUCUUUGUCUUUUACCUCUUAGCUUGGCCAAUUUUUUUUUUCUGUUUCUUCCAUUCACCAAAUAAACAAAAAAAAAUUCACUCUGAUUUUACUGUCCAAGAUUUGGUCAGUAUAUGGUAAAUACCCAAAUUUGAAUGUCGGCCGGAAUGGAAUAAGGAACAUAGAAACAAAUCGAGUUUAUAAUCUAUUGAGAAUGAAACAAAAGUGUACACAACAUGAGAUUACACUUGGAAGGCAAGGAAUGAUAAGCUUUCCCUUAAGUAUAUAUGUGAAGUUCUUUUAGUUUAACUGAUGUGCGACACAAAAAAAAAAACAUGAAAAACAUUUAAUCCAAUUUAUUAUAAUCUGAAAUAUAUGAAAUGCAAUUAAUUUUGAAAAAGGAAAUUUAAAUAUAAUAUAUUUAUCGUUAACAUUAUAUUGACAUAGAUAACAUGAGCCAGAGCUUUUUAUUAUUGAGAUAAGGACAUAUCUUACUAAGGUUAUCUCCAUUAUUUAUUGAAACAGAAAAUGAGAGAUCAUUUCAACUUUAGUUUUGUUUGUAAUUUCUGUAGGUUUUUAACAAAAAAAAAAAAGAGAAAAGAAUUGGUUUAGUCUCAUGAUAUUAUUCGAAUUACUGUCUGCUGCUACUGCUAGUUUAUGCGUAUUAAUUGGUUUUAUACUUUUGCUACCAUCACGAUAAUUCUGACAAAUUUCCCUCUUGUAAAUUUUUUAUCUUUCAGGUCCUUUCAAGUUCAUAAUGUCGCCACUAUAGUCCAUCACCGUCUUUUUCUUCACAUUUUUUUUAAGUCUAUCCAUUUUUAAUUAUGCGCACUUGUCUUAAACAAUCAACAAAAGUAAGGUCAUCUAUGUAACUUAUUUUUUUAUUUGUUUAUUUUUCUUUAGUUUGAAAUAAAUACUGUUUUAAAAUGAUAUUGUUGUUGUCAUGGAUAGAGUAGGCACGAAUCAUGGCGACUUUUUAAUCCAAUAACUAAAACCAUUUUGCUUCAUUAGUUCAUUAAUAAACUUUAGGGUUUCAGCUGCAUUGUAGAAAUCAUGGCGACACUAUCCCGAUUUUGAGCAUAUCCGUGUUGUGUAACUUCUAUAUAUGCAUGCGAAUAGUAUUAUAAUAAUUUCACGAACGAACAAAAAUGUGAUAUCAUAGACUCAUAGUAGCAUAUAAGAUUUUAUUAGAGAUGCGUAUAAUUAGUCUAUUUUUUGUUCUUUUGUUUCAAAUUCUAAAUAUGUUUCACAAUAAAAUGAAUAUUUACAAAUAAGAAAAAAAAAAGGGAAAACGAUAUAUAUUAUGAAAAACAAAACACAAAGAUUCUAAAUAAUACAAAGAGGAGAAUGUUCCAAUCAUGCUAUUCGAUUACAAAAUCAACUAAGGAGCAGUCUGAUUGCACUAAUUCUUCUUUCUUUUUUCUUUUUCCUAUGAGUAAAUAUAAGUAGAAUUUAGAUUUUACUAUAACCCCAAUCUACUUUUUUACCUUGGCAAAAAUAAUAAAAAUGUAUAAAGUAAAAUACAGUUGGUAGAUUAUCGCAUCUAAGCCAUACAGAAAUUAUGUUUCCAAAGUGUCUUCUAUGUUUUUUGGAGGUUAUACUACUGUUGGGAAUCUCUCGGUUGAUACACUAGUAGAUAGACAGUGUGGGAAGCGAUAGCUGAUUGUGUCUGAUUGCAUUGAUUAGUAUCCUGAUCAAACCAUUAAUUAUUUUAUUAUUGAAUUUGGUGUAAAUGUCAGAUGAAAUUAUAGUUAACCGAAAAAAAAAAAAUUAUAGUUAACCGUGACUUGUAAGGUAAGUUUGGAUAGUUUACACUUUCACUUUCCGAAAGUUAUCAACGGUUAGUUUCGGUUUAAAAUAACUAUUAAUGUAAGAACACAAGUUUCAGUCUGAUUGCAUUGAUUCGUUUUAAUAAUCUGUGUCGCUGUCUCGUCCAAGUUUUUUUGUCCAAGUAGUUAUUUUGAUGACAACCAAAAGUCGUUUCCUUUUUUCUAUUCUUUUGCACAUCAUCAUGUCCUGAAUAAGAAGAAAUAUGGCAUCUAAAACAAACUUGUCGAUUGUACUAUAUAGUUGCAUGACUGAGUAGGUCAAUGGUGAAUAUGAUCUUUCGCUUUUUCCAUAUAUCGUAUACCGUGUUGUGUCUUAUAUCGUUCUCGGUUUAGCCUCAUGAAAAUAUUGGAAUUAAUGUGUGCUGCUGCUUUUUUAUUCGUAUUGGAACGAGGAACACAAACACAAAACGAGUUCAGUAUAUUAUAUAUUCAGAACGAAACAAAAGUGCACACAACAUGAGAUCACACCUGGAGGGAGCAAGCAAUGAUAAGCUUUGCCCUUGAUGUUUUAUUGGAAAGCAAAGGAAACUUGAACAUAAACAUACACACAUGCCAUGUCCUCUCACACGGAAUGGAUAAAAGGUAAUCAGAUGAUCCUUUUGUAGCAAUGGCAAUGCUUGGGAAUGUCGCUUCCCUCAACAGCCGCCCAGCAGACUGGAGGACUCCCGUAUUUGUUUUUACAACAGGUGCAGCAUUCAGCAUUGGUCUUUCCGUGCGCAUCCGGGCACUCGUCCAGGAACGCAAUUUGAGCGGUGCUAGUGCAGGGGUUAGUACCGCAGCCUGCAGCCUCGCUCUUGAGGAAUCCUAGAUGUUGACAUAUUCAUCAAGAUCAGCACAACAAGAUAGAAUUAAAAGACUAACUGAAAAGUAUAAUAGAGAACUUGGUUAAACUAUAAUACCGGUUGAAGCUAUCACGAGGACAAGCAAGAGAACGGUGAAGCUGAUGGAGUUGAGGUUCUUUGCCAUUUCUUUCUUUUUGCUUUGCUUUUAACAAAAACUUGUUUUUUCUUCUUUUUCUUUUCAACAAACUUAACUUUGGUGAUACAAAUCCAUAGGUGUUUGUGUUCUAUUUAUAGUCAAAAUUUUGCAGCUGAAUUUGUUAUACUUGCUUAAUUUCUCCUCUCUAGCUUACCCAAGUUCAUUAUGUCGCCACUAUUAUGCAUACCCGUCUUUUUCGUUACAUUUUUUUUUUAGUCUAUGCAUUUUUAAUCGGGCACUUGUCUUAAACAAUCAACCAAAAGAGAGGUCAUCGUCUCUGUAACUCAUUAUUUAUAAUUCCUUUUUUUUUUCUUUAGUUUGAAAUAGUUAUUUUUAAAAGAUGAUAUUGUUGUUGUCAUGGAUAGAGUAACUACCAAUCUUGCCGACUUUUUAAUCCAAUAAUGAAAACUAUUUGGCUUCAUUAGUUCAUUAGUAAACUUUAGGGUUUCAGCUGCAUUGUAGCAUUAUGGCAACACUAUCUUCAUUUUGAGCAUCUCGAUCUCAAUCGUGCGUUCGUAACUUUUAUAUAUGCGUGCGAGUAUUAUAAUAACUUUCUAUAUGUACAAAUGUGAUGUCAUAUUAACAUAUUUAAAAGAGUUAACUAGAGAUGCGUAUAUAAUAAUUAAUUAUUAUUUUGUCAUUCCUUUUCAUUUCAAAUUCAAAAUGAGUAUUCUUUGCUUACAAAGAAGUGGUAAAAAAAGGAAAAACGAUACCGUGAAAAAUGAAAGUGCACACAACAUGAGAUCACAUUUGAGAGUGCAAGCUAGCAAUAAUAAGCUAUUAAGCUUUGCCCUUGAUUUUUUUUAUUUGGAUGCUAAAGAAACUUGAACAUAAACAUACACACAAGUGGCUUACCUUCUCCUUUCUAUUUUCCAGAUGUAGUCAGUUUUGGAAUACACUGAUAAAAACCCUUAAAACAGAAAUCAUGAGAGCUCAAUACAUGUAAAAACACACAAACAACCUCUCAGUUUCUCGACUUUCCCUUUUAUUCCUCUCUCUACCAUUUCCUCAUUAUCUUCAAUCUAGGAGCUUCUCGAUCUCUUUGCUUUCGUGUUCAUAAUAGUUUUCUGUAUAUAAGGAUAACACAACCUUGAUGCUUUGUUUCUAUAGACGUCUUGCAUGAUUACGUAGGUCGAUGGUGAAUAUGAUCAUUCGCUUUUUCAACAAAUGGUACGCCGAAGCUUCGAGUAUUAAUUGAAAUUUGUUGGAUGAACGAUUUAAGAGGUGGUUAAUGGUUACACAUUUUUCCAAGGAGAUUGCAAACAGUUGAUUAGAGAAUAAGAGCAUAUAUAAAAGCAAGCAAAUUAAUAUUCUCUAUUCUAUAAUAAGUGAUGUUUUAGAGGUUUUUUUCCAGUGAUGUUCUCACAAAUCUAUACAAAAUUCAUAUUUUUAUUAUUUUUAUUAUUUGUAGUCUGCAUACUAUUUUUUAUUGUUAAAUUAUAUUGAAAUAUAUAAUAAAAUUUAGUAUAAAAAAUAAUUAAUUGUUUUCUUAAUCUGUAUACACAACACUAAAACAUUACUGAAAGAGUAUUAUCACGGGUCCGGUUUCAUCCACUUCGCCAGAAAACUCGCAAUCUCUUCCUCAUCUAAAGUUUUAUUGUGUCUUAUAUCGUUCUCGGCUUAAAAUUACUGCCAAUUAGUUUGUGCUGCUGCUGGUUUAUGUGUAUUGGAACGAGGAACACAAACACAAAACAAGUUUAUUAUAUAUUGAGAAUGAAACAAAAGUGCACACAACAUGAGAUUACAAUUGGAGAGCAAGCAAUGAUAAGCUUUGCCCUUGAUGUUUUAUUUGGAAGCAAAAGAAACUUGAACAUAAAUAUACACCGUACACGCAUGUCAUGUCCUCACACCGAAUGGAAACAAAAGCGACAUUUGGUAUUUACAUGAGAUUUUUUCAGGCCUUUUGGUAGCAAUGGCAGUGCUUGUCGGUUCCCUCAACAGCCGCCCAACAGACUGGAGGACUCCCGUACUUGGCUACGCAACAGGCGCAACAAUCAACAUCUGUCCCUGGGUACGGCUCUGGUGGGCACUCCCCAAGGAACGCACGUGAACUGGGCGUAGAGCAUCCACCAGGACAGUCAAUAGCCUCGCUCUUGAGGAAUCCUAGAAGUUGACAAAUUCAUCAAGAUCAUCAGCACAAGAUGUAUUUAAAAGACUGACUGCAAAUGAAGUNNNNNNNNNNNNNNNNNNNNNNNNNNNNNNNNNNNNNNNNNNNNNNNNNNNNNNNNNNNNNNNNNNNNNNNNNNNNNNNNNNNNNNNNNNNNNNNNNNNNNNNNNNNNNNNNNNNNNNNNNNNNNNNNNNNNNNNNNNNNNNNNNNNNNNNNNNNNNNNNNNNNNNNNNNNNNCAAAUCCAUAGGUGUUGUGAUCUAUUUAUAUUCAAAAUUUUGCAACUUUGUUAAACUUGUUUAAUCCAUAUAUGCUCUCUUCUUUCUGGUUUUCCCAAGUUCAUAAUGUCGCCACUAUUGUGCAUUGCCGUCUUUUUCAUUAAAUAUUUUUUUUUCAUGUUUUCAAUCAUGUACUUGUCUUAAUAUUUAACUAAAAGGAAGGUCACCUCUUUAACUGGUAUUUUAUAUUCAUUGUUUUCUCUUUAUUUUGAAAUGGCUAUUGUUUAUAAAUGAUAAUUGUUGUUGUCAUAUAUAUAUAAUUAAGAAUGGCUUGGCUACUUAUUGAUAAUGAAAACGAUUUGGCUUCAUUAUUUCAUUAUAAAAUCUUUAGGGUUUCAGAUGCAUUGUAGCAAUCAUGGCGACACUGACUGGUCCUUUUGAUUUUUGUGCAAUUUCGUAUUGCAUAAUUUCUUUAUAUGGAAUAUUAGUAGAGAUUUUGAAAUUUUCUUUUAAACUGAAUAGAUUACUGUGGUUAUUAUGGUUAUUUGAGAGAUUAAAACACACUCCUGAUGUGAAUAUUAUACAACUGUUCCAAUAAAUUACAAAAUUCUCCAUCUCCAAAAAUCUAAAGACUUUGAUGAGAUUUUCUGUGUUUUGUUUGAAGCCACUAAAGAACAGAUCAUACCAUUACCAAUACCUGUUUUUUCUUUCUGACAUUAUCUCUUAUGGUUUUUCUUCAUUUUUGAGUGGUACCUUAAACCUGAAAUUGUCUACCAGAACUCAACUAAAACCGAGACUUAACCGGGCAAAUAUCAUAAAUAAACCUUUAGGCUUUCAGCUGCAUUGCAGCAAUCAUGGCGACGCCGUAUUGCGUUACUCCGUAUAUGCGAGUAUUUAUAUAAUAACUUUCAAGCUGAGUUAUUAUAUAAACAUAUAAGAGUUAGUUCGAGAUGCGUAAAUUACACGAGAUAGAGCUCAUUAUUGAAAGAGAAAAUUUCAUAUAAAAUCUUCAACUUAAUUUCAAUAAAUUUUUUAAAUUUUUAACUUUUCGUGUGUCCAAAAAAAACUUUAAAUAUUUUUCUACCCAUUUCAAAUCCUCAAUUGUUAUCUUUAUAAUUAGUUUACACUGUAUACAAAACGACACUAAAUGAAAAUUGGAACGCUGUUCGAAUCUCGUUAAUAAACGAACUACAGUAACUCGUCGUGAUUAAGCAAUGAUUUACAUAAAACUUGAUAUAAACUAAAUCUCGACAAAAUUGAAGCAAAAUCUCCAAAAAAAUUGAAAGCAAAAUGAUCACAUGGAUAACAAUUGGCAAUUUAAAAUGGAUAGAAAAAUGCCUGAAGUUUUUUCUGGACACAUGAAAAGUUGAGGAUUUAAAAAGCUUAUUAAAAUUAAGUUGAAGAUUUUAUAUGGAAUUUUCUAAUAUUGAAAUGGAAAUGAGAGAUCAUGCCAAAUUUUGUUGUGUCAUAAAUCGUUAUCAGUUAUUCUAGUUACUGACUGCUCUGCUAGUUUAUGCAUAUUGGUUUUGAAUUAUUUGACCCCCCUUGUGGUUUUCUUACUAAUUUUUUUCAAUCCCCCUUUUAAAAUUUUUUUCUUGAUUCAAUCGAUUAGUAAGGUUUUAGGUUAUAUUUGAGAGAAUAAAACACACUCCUAAUGUGAAUCUCAUACAAGUUACAAGUGUUCUAAAAUGUGAUGAACAACGUAAAAAGUCUCCUACUCCAAUAAAUCUAAAGACUUUGAUGAGCUUUUCUGAGUUUUAUUUGAAGCCACUAAAGAACAGAUAAGGCAAUAUGGUUUUAUUCAUUUUUGAAUGGUACCUUAAACCUGAAAUUCUGUAUCAGAAUUCAGCCAAAACCGACACUUAACCGGGAAAUUAUCAUAGUAUUGGCUUCAUGUGUGUGUGUGUGUUUUUUUUGGGGGGGGGGGGGGAGUGGGGUUAAUAUGGCUUCUCGUAUUGAUGAUAUCUAAAGAGUCAUUUCUUCUGACAACUUUCUUGGUGUUUAUGAUGAUAAAUUGAUACCAGCAAAAACCGAGACUUAACCGGGAAAAUAUCAUAGUGUAUUUGGCUUCAUAUGUUUUUUUUUUUUUUUCUAUUUUUGGUUAAUUUGGCUUCUUGUAUUAAUGAUAUCUAAAGAGCCAUUUCUUCUGACAUCUUUCGUGGAUUUUAUGAUGAUAAAUUGAUAAUGGCUACACUUCACUUUCAGUGGUCCAUAAAUAAACAUACACACACAAGUGGCUUACCUUCUCCAUUCUAUAUUUCCAGAUAUAGCCAUUUCUUUGAGAUUCAUAGACAAAAACCCUUAAAACAGAAAUCAUGAGAGCUCAAUAAAUGUAAAAACACACAACCAACCUCUCAGUUUCUCUACUUUUCCUUUAAUUCCUCUCUCUAUCAUUCAUUUAUAACCUUCACUCCAGAAGCUUCUCUCUUUGCUCAUCUCUUUGUUGCUCACAAGAGUUUUCUGUAUAUAAGAAUAACACAACCUUGAAGCUUUGUUUCAAUAGAUUUUAUGCCUCUUCUUGUCUGAUCUUUGUUUGUUCUUUUGUCUUUUACCUCUUAGCCUAUGCUUUGUCUGUUUCUUCCAUCAACCACAUAAACAAAAAGGAAACCUCAUCUUUAACCAAUUGUUUAUCCAAAAUAAAAGAAAAAGCUGAAGCUUGUAGUCAUGAAAAAGAAACUGAUAGUGCUUAUGUUACUUCUGCAACUUCUGGCCUUGAACUCUCUUUCUCUGAGACAGUCUUCAUCGAAACCAAAUGCAAAGAUCACUGUAAUGGGUCUUGUUUACUGCGACGUCUGCUCUAACAACAGUUUCUCCAAACACAACUACUUCAUGCCCGGUAAAGAAACAAAUCAAAAUUUCUCAAAAUUGUUAGAUCCAAGUUGAAAUGUCUCUCACUUUUGUUUCAGCUGAACAAAAACAGGUGUGGAAGUGAGAAUAAUCUGCAGAUUCAAUGCUGCUUCGUCAAGAACUAGAGAGAUGAUAACGUUCUCUGCAAAUCGAACAACGAACGAGCUCGGACUCUACAAGCUAGAUAUAACGUCUCUAGAAGGCGUUGCUUGCGCCGCAGAAGCAGAUAAAGGUUCUCUUAUGGCUUCUUGUCAGGCAAGCUUGAUUGGUAGCUCCUCGGAUUCCUGCAAUGUUCCUGGCUACAAAACUACAACGGAUCAGGUUGUGUUUAAGUCCAAGAGGUCUAAUCUCUGUGUCUAUGGGUUUACAGCUUUGAAUUUCAGACCGUUUAAGAAGAAUCUUGACUUGUGUGGCAAGCAAUAGAAAAGAAAUUGCCAAAGUCACUGUUCGUUUCUACUCUAACUAUGUGCUUCAGACAAAAUUACUGUGUUCUGUCUUCUUAUCCUCUGUUUUUUUUCUUUGGACUUCGUUUAGACAGCUUAUUUAUAUAAAAUAUCUAGUUUUGAACAAAAAAGGCCUCAACAUUCCAAAAACAAAUCAAGUAAUAAUAUAGAAAUUUUACAAUAUCGUUGAAAUAAUAUAAAUUUAUGGUUGAAACUUGAUGCAAGAUAUCAGACAAGAUUAAGAUCAAGAUAAUAAUAAUAAUUCAGCAGAAAAAAAAAACAAAGGAAGCGAGAAAACAGAGUAAAACGAAAAGUUUUCUGACAAUAAUUGCCAGAUAUUUGUCUUUUUUUUGUCUUUUUCAAUAUUAUAUCUGUAAAAACUGUUCUUGAAACACAUCCAUGGCUGAAGUAGGAAGCCCAAGAAGCACAUUGAUGCUUCUCCUCUGUUCUCCAUGAGACAAAAACAGUGUCACUUCUUUCUCAGGUAAAGCUACUGGACCGGACAAAACCGGUUCUCCCCAACCGAAAUCUGUGGUAUGAAAACCCAAUCUUGACCAUGUUGUUAUCAGAAGAGUCGAGGAAAGAGAAGGUCUUGCUCUUGUGACUUCGAAGUAAUCAAUCGCAGAUCUCAUGUAUCCAUCAGUGACCAUCUUAAUCGCUUCUCUGACUAAUCCAACAGCGAAACUCAACGGUUUCUCGGUUAGCUCUCCAGCUUCACAGAUAGAGUUUGUGAGAACAAUUCCAUUCCCAAAAUACCCUUUUGGCAAUUGAGGCUCAAACUUGGCUCUACCAUCGACGGCAAAGAGAAGCUUCGUUUUCUGAUCAGUCAACAUCUUCAAUGACUUGGUUCUUGCUCUCCAGACAAAAGCAGAUAAAGCCUCAAAAGUUGUGCAGCUAUUACCUAGAAGAGAUUCACUGUUCUCUGUUGCUUGGAUCUUAAGUUUCUUGAUUUUGUCUGGAUCAAAGCAGAAGGAUCUGUAGAGAGUUGGCUCUUUGGUGUAAAGAGAGUUGAUGUUGGAUUUAUCUUCAAUCUCUUCGAAUUCCUGGUGAAGAUUCUCGAUCAUUGGAGGGUUACGAGCACUGAGAAUGGUUCUGUCUGAGAAUGGAGGAGUUGUUAAUGGUAAGCCUCUAGCGACUUGACCCCAUGAGUUAACAAACUCCAUAGCUCCAAUACCAUCAAACAUACAGUGAUUCAUACAGAGUCCAAGAACAAACCCUCCACACUUGAAUUUUGUCACCUAUAUAAAAACCCUAACAAAUCAGAUCUCAACUCUUUAAACCCUAAAUACAAAAACAACAACAAAAAGUUACUUGAGGAGAAAGAAAACUAAACCUGAGCAGUAACAGGAGGAAUUUCAAGAAUGUUUUUAGCGUCAACAACAUCGUAGACAAGUUUCCCUAGAGUUUCAGGGUCCGGUUUCGUGAUGUCACCGAUCUCAUCCAUUUUACAGUUUGCUUCUGCUUCCACAAACACAACUCCUUCUUCCGUACAGUCCACUGUGAGUUUACCUGAAUUUACAAACCAUUAAAGACAUUAACUGAUGUUGUUGUCUGAGUUUAAAUAUCGACAGAGACUGAAACCUAAGUGAUCAUUAAUUGUCUUUAAUCAUUUACCUUCAGGACUUAUGGUAAGACGUCCAGCAAGAGGGUAGUAAUGAACAAGAACCUGACUCAAAGCUUUCUUAAUCACUUGGACUGCUUCCUCGUUUCCUCUCUCCUCAGAUUUGAAACAGUAGAUAGUACGGACGAUCACGGCGAUGUUCUGAUCAAGAUUCGACAAGAAGUAGAGACCCUUUCUUGUCUCGGAUUCGGGUUUGACCAAAGCUGGUUCCUUUUGAAAAACCUCAAGAUGAAACUUAGUUCCUUUCAUGUUGUUGUUGUUGUCGUCCAUUGAAGCAGAGAGUGUUACUUCCUUGUUGUUGUUCUCCGCAACCUGAAGAACCAAAAAGAAGAGUGAAUACAUGAAAAAAUCUUUGAAGACUUUGUAAAACAAAACAAGAACAUAAUGAAAAACAAUAACACAAACCAUUUUUUAUUCAAAUAGAGUUAUGAAGUCGAGUUGGAUUCUCAUGAGAUAUAUAUGGGGAAAUCAAUGAGGAUUAUCAUGGGACCCGCAAGUUCAUGGGACCCGCAAGUUCAUAGAAAUCUUGUCUUGUUAGAGGAGAAACGUGAGAAUUAUGUGAAAGUUAGAAUACUUGGACGGCCUUGCUUCAUUUAAUAAAAAUGAGUUCUAUUGACUAAUAGUAGUAUUUCUUUAAUUUUUCUUUUAUUAAUAUUUAUAUAUAUAUAUAUAUAUAUAUAUAUAUAUAUAUAUAUAUAUAUUGGAUUUUAACGUAUUUCAUUUAGUUAGUGUUAGGUGACUGAAUAAAUGACCUAACACAACAAACACUAAUGUGUUUUUUUUGUUAGUUGAGAGUAGGCCUCCCAAUUUUUGGAUGACUUCUUAGUUUUCUUUCUCUUUGCCAUUUAUCUUUACUCUUUACGAUAUUUUCAUGGAUAUACUAAAAGAAUUCAAUUAGAUGUCAUCAUGCAUAUUCUCUUUCUCGAAGAAAACUUCAACCAUACAACACAAAAUUUCACAUUUUUCAAGAAUAGAUUCUGUAUGGUUAAGAAAACCAAAUUUUUGAGAAGUUUUUUCAAUUGGAAUAUAUUAGUCUAUGUCAAACAACGGUUCUUGUACACUUGACGAAAUGCGAUCUGGAUGAUCACGAAACUCAAUCACUCAAAACAACUAAAAUUGUUGAGUCCAAAACGUAAGAAUGUUCUAUGUGAACAAAAAAAAAAGAAUGAUACUGUAUAUGGGAAAUCUAAAAACUAAUAAACGCCAUGAGCUCCUAUAAGAGUUUACACAUAUUCUUGUUUUAAUUAGUAUGCGAAUUUCUUAAAUCUAAAAUGUCAUAGAAUUCUAGAAAGUAUGUAGAAUAUAGAAAUAGAAGUUUCUACGUACAUGUACAUUAUCUUAAGAGUUAUUUAGACGCAGGACUGGAUCUGGGGACAGCCUGAUGAAACAUUCGCCUAUAGUCCCCAAAAUUUUUCUUUGGUUAUUUAUGAAUUUUUCGGCCCCUAAAUCAUACAAAAAAAAAUUGUUCUUAAAUUGUUUAUAGCCCCCAAAUUCUCAGAUCCGACCAUGUUUAGAUGACGUUGUUUUCGGUUAAAAAAAAAGAAUAAUAAAUAGAUUCUUCCCAUUAUAAUAUAUAUAAACACUUAUGUUGUUCAAAUUCUGUAGUUUUUGUAAUUCCUUGUUUGUCUCUUCUUGGCUGGAGAAGGUUUAGGUUACCGAAUCAAUUAAGAAAGGAGGGACCAGAGAGAAUCACAUAUCUCCCACCGCCAAGUAGAAACGCAUCUUUCUCUCUUUCAUAUUAAUCGAAGCCAACGUAUUUGUUGACCAAAUUUAUUCAACGUUUUAAUUUUUUUCUUUUUCUAUUUGACCAAAUAACGUAACUUGAAUUCCACCGUACAAGUAUCUCAUAAAACUGCAAAGCAUGGUCUUCCACAUAUAGAACCAAAAAACUCGAACCUUAAAACAUACAAUAUGUGAAUCCAGAACUUUCAGCUAGUUAAAAAACCAAAAAAAAAAUCAAAGUUAACUAACAAUAGAUUUUUGAAAUCACUCCUAAAUCUUUGUUAUUUUUUUCGGUAAAAAAAAAAUAAAUAGUUUUCAUAACAAAUUAAUAUGAAAGUAUUUUUAUGACCGAGUCCAUAUCCAACGCAGUAAAUUUUAACAUUUCGUGUUUGCUUAGUUUUUGAUUAGUACUAAAUUUUAGUAUAUGUUUUGCUACUUACAAUUAUUUUGAAUCGGACUGAAGCAUACAACGAAUCAAAGCGGAUUAUGCCUGGCCCUAAUGACCUAAUCAAAUGAAUCAAGUUGAAAUUUUGUUUCAGAUUAGUUCUUGAUCGUCUCUGCCAUUGAGGCAUCAAUGUAACAGUAUCAAACAAGUACUUACAGAUUAAGGGACACAUAGUGCAAAUUCCUUGUUUUUUGUUUUUUUUUGGUUUUUUUUCGUAUCUGUGAUCUGUUCUUUAAUUCGGAUCGACAUAUUUUUUCCCAGUAUCUACUCUAAAACUAGUCAAAUAUGUGAUAUUAUGAUAUCUAUUAAAAAUUUGGAUGUCCAAUCCCCUAUAUAAAUUGUUAAGGAAACAAAAAAAAUAAUGAAAAUUUCAAAGUUAACUAACGAUUAAAUUACGGCUUUGAUUGGUGAUAUGAGUUACGCUUGCAUUAGUUUGAGUUAUGGGCAAACAUCAAAAAUGUUACCAAUCAUGCAUUAAUUUAUUUUUUUGAGUUUAGGUUUGAGUUAUAAAGUGGUAUAGUUGAGUUAUAAUUUUGAGUUAUCUUUUUUUUAUAAAAUUGAUUACUCAAAAGUUAAUUCAACAUCAAUCAAAGAAAAUCUCUUGUAUUAGAAGCUGAGUUAGGAUUUGUUUUUUUGCUUUUCUCCACCUAAAUUUGCUAUCCCACGUUUGUUUAAUAAAUAUAAUCAUAAUUGAUAAUCGUUUAUUUAAUUUGUUUAAAUAACAUAUAAUACAACUUAUACAGCAGAAAUGUUACCAAUUAUGUAUUUUGACAAAAAGGUAACUUAUAUUUUUACAGCAAACUCACUGCAUAAAUCUACUGUUUAUACCACAUAAUAUUUACUUAAAAUUACAUCAAAUCAUAACAUCAAUUGUAAAUCAACUUCAAAAUCACAUGUUACCAAUACAAUAUUUAUUUUGAAAUUCACUUUUGAAGUUUUGUAAUAUUUUAGCAAAUUACAUAGUUUCCUAUAACGAAUUUAUCAUGAAAGUAUAUAUUAUGCCUAAGUAGAUGUCCAACGUAGUAAUAUUUGUAAUUUACUCAGUUUUUGAUUAGUAGUACUUAAUUUUAGUAUUUGUUUUACUCCCUCAACGUAACUUACAAAGUUUUUGAAUCGGAUCGAAGUAUACAACAAAUCAAAGCGGAUUAUGGUUGGCCCUAAUCAAAUUAAUCAAUUUGAAGUUUUUGUUUCAGAUUAGUUCUUGAUCCUAUCAGGGUUUUCGCCAAUGAGGCCCAUCUCAUUGUUUGUGUGCUGUUGACAGUUUGACACAAUACAAAAAUGAAACUUCAUACUGUUUCGCUCUUCUCAUGGAAGAACGCGCGCCACUUUCUCACCCAAAAAACGUAGCUUAGUCCAAAUUCUACCAUUAAAGACAGCAAGCCAAUGUGUGCCAGCAUCAGAGACCAAAAGAGAUUAAACUUGGAAUUACAGACUCACAAAACAACUUAGCUUCAGGGUAAAAUCUUUCAAACAAGAUGAAGCUUAAACCACAAAAACCAUUCCCGGAACAACUUCUGUCCCGAAACGAAAACUUUUUCUGUGCAAACAAAUUCAAUCAACAAAGUGCUUGAUAAUGCAUAGAAGCCUCAAUCCAGUGCAGUUCAAAUAGCAAAUCCUACUUACUAAGUUUACAGCGUAAUUAGUACAUCAAAGCCAUAUAAUUUAAAGAAAGGUUAAGUAAACUUAGCUAUUAAUAAGCACACUGUGCCAUAAAAUGCAUUCCCUAAAAGCUAUAUCAAGCUUGAGAAUUCAGCAAAAGCAUAUAUCAAGAUUCCUACUAGAUAUACAUAUAUAUGGACAAUCUAAGUAAAAAAAGCCAUUAAAGGCUUGACCUUUAAGAACCAUUUUUCUCUUGCUGAGCUUCAUGUUGAAGAUUGUGAUGAUGAGCCUUAGCUUGUUGUAGAGCAAAUUGCGGAUAAAUCUGUGGAUUCAAAACCCCAACAGUCCCAUCUUGAGACAUUUGAUUAUUCUCAUAACCCAUCCCUGAAGAACCAUUGAAAUCAAACCCAAGAAACCCAAUUCCAUAAUUCAAAUCAAACCCUCCUGCAGUUGAAGCAUUAGCUCCACCAUCAAACCCGGUUUCAUUUGGCCAAAACCCAUUUGCAAUUUGAGACCUUGGAGCUCCUUUCAGGCUCAAAUCGGCGGUGAGAGGAGGUUGAGAAACAGAGUCGGUGGUGGGUUUGAUUCCACUUCCGGUGGCGGAGAUUAUCGACGGCUCGGCAUGGUGAAGCAACCACUGGAGAGUCUCGCCGUCGGAUUUGUGACCUAAUUCUCUGGUCAAUUGAAAAAUCCUCGCCGCACAAAGUGGAGGCAACCUAACUCUUCGGCCUCGUCCUUCGACUUUGAGGUGUCGAUCUUUGCUCGGUUUCUUCUGAACCGAUUGUUCUUCGUUCUCCUUAUGGUUCUUCUUCCACUUUCUUUUCCCUUCCACAGUAUUGAAACCCUUAAAGUCGGUUUCUUUCGCCGUCUUCUCGUUGUCCUGAUUCUGUGGUGAAGGGUUUGGGAAAUUCGGUACUUGUGGUUGAUUUGGGUUCUUGGGAUCCAUCAUGGACCAGGUCAAGAUGUGGUGACUUUAUGGUCGCACACUAAAAAUUACCAAGCUUUUUUUGGUUCUCUCCUUCUCUCUCACAGAGAUUCUGAUUCAAGGUGGGGCGUGUGUAAGUGUAACCUUUUGACCUAGGUAAAGGUAACUAAGUUUUAUUUUUAAUAAAUUUUCACACUUAUCGUAUAAUUUUUCGAACAAUUUAUAAAUUCUAAUAAAUUCUCACAUUUAUAUAAGUAUAUAUAAGUAACUCGAUCAAUAGAGUUUCGUUUUCUUCUCUCUCCUUUUCGUUUUCUUCUCUCUCCUAACGGCAAUUGAAUAAGCGAACCGAGAGUUUUUUGCUUUUUUUUCUGUUCUCUCUUUCUAAUCUUUCACAGAGAAUAAAGUUUUUUUUUUUUUCUCAUAUCUUCGAUCUUAUAAUCGAAGUUUUUUUAGUGUAUGUCGGAUUCCGACUUAAUCGGAUAAUAAUGUUCGCUUUUAACUGGAUUAGCUAGCUCUUUCUUCUCUGGAUUUGGACCUCUAUAAAUGAUUUGAGACGGUGGCGAAUAAAUCCGGCUGUGAAUGUCGAGCUUUCUUCUUCAACUUUUGGAUCAUCCUUUCUCGGCUAGGAGAUAAACUCUCCUUAAAUCCCCUUUUUAAGAGCCAUAUGGCGUUGGGUGAUGUGGUCUAGAAUCAAAGAUGAUCGGUGUUAAUUUCAUCGGAGAUGUAAGCUUCCGACAAGUUCUAAUCCGGAUCUAAUCAGAGAGGAAUCAAGCAGUCAAGAAACAGCAAUUAGAGGAAGAUGGAGAUCCAUUGGAGUUAACAUACAUGGUUAUACUCUUUGGAUUAUCGGUUUCUAGCAGAGCUCUGACCGGUAAUGAAUCGACGGUAUCUUCAAACCGUGAGCCAACAUCUACCCAAAAUCUGCUGCAUGUCUUUACACGUGUUUUAGACUUAUCAAUCUUUAUCUUUUUAAUAUUGGACUUUAAUGAGAUUGAUUUGCUUUUUAAUGUAUGAGUUUGGACCUCAAUUUUGCUGUAACUUGCCUGUUUUUGGGUUUUCGUUAUAAAACAAGUUGACGAUAAAAAAUAUAAGUAACUGAAUCUACGGAAAAACAUAUACAUACCACAAUGAAAAACGGUAAAAGGCUAAAUUCUUUUUUUGGACAUGUAUUUGUGUGUUAUCUUAUAAAAUGAUCUACACUUUUACAAAAAGAAAAGAAAAAAAAAGCCAAAUAUGCAAACACAUGAGAAUUUAUCCACAAUGGUAUAUUACAAAUAUUUUGGCUAUGUUAUUAUUCUCUACAACGAGCUAGAAAUUUGUUACAAUAAGUGCGAAAAAUUAGAAAAGUGCACAUAAUUAUGUCUUUUGCCCAUAAAUAUGUUGUUAGUAGGCCUUAUAUAGAUGGAAACAUUGAAAAUGGAACAUUAUAUUUGCAUUUGCAAAGAUAUUUCAAGAAAACGAAGAUUGGAUUUUUUAUUUCAAAAAUGUGAUCUUUAAGAUUUUUGUGUGUUUCUCUCUUUCUCAUGUACAACUUCGAUAUAUACUUCCACCAAACUGCGACUAGGACCUCAAAUCUCAACUUUACAAAUGGCAAUAUGCCUUUUGCAUCGACAGUUAACAUUGCCGUCCACAGUGAAAUCGAUCUGAUUUCGAGUAGACUCGCUGGUACAAGUAUGGGCUUGAUUUGGGCCGCUAAAAAUUAGUUAGGUUCGGGUAUGAUCGAUCUGCUAAGACAUAUGUUUUGUUUUAAGGCUUUUUUAUGAGCCCACUGAUUAUACUCCAGGUUAAUCCUUUGAUUGUAUUAGGGUUUAUACGAAUUUCAGCCGAUAAUUUUACUCAACGAAGAUCAGUGUCGGAUUCGAAGAGAUCUUCGCGGCGAAUUGUGUGAUUUACUGCGAAUUUGUUAAACUGGGUUAGGUUCGCCGGAAUCUGAGAUGGGUAAGGAGAGUAAGAAGAGUGAGAAUAGGGUUGAAUCUGAGGGAACCGUUGAAGAACGCAAUUCUACGAAGAAGAAGAAGAAGAAGAAAAGCCGAGAGAAAAAGGAUAGCUUUGGUGGAGAAAAUGGGGAGACAGCUGCGUUUGAAGGAGAGAAAUUGGGUGAGGGCGCUCCAGCUAAGAAGAUAUCGGAGAAGAAAAGGGUCAAUUCUGAAGCUGACGAUGAUGGUGUGAAGAAAUCGAAGAAGAGUAAGAAAAGGGCUGAUUCUGGAGCUAAUGCUGAUGAUGGUGGGGAGAAAUCAGAGAAGAAAAGGGUUGAUUCUGAAGAUAAUGCUGAUGAUGGUGGGAAGAAAUUGGAGAAGAAAUGGGCUGAUUCUGAAGCUAAUGCUGAUGAUGGUGGGAAGAAAUCCGAGAAGAAAAGGGCUGAUUCUGAAGCUGAAGAUGGUGAGAAGAAAUCGAAGAAGAAAAGUAAGGAGAAAAUGGUUGAUUCUGAAGCUGAGGAUGAUGGUGUGAAGAAAUCGAAGAAGAGAUAUAAGGAGAAAAGUGUUGAUUCUGAGGCUGAGAGUGAUGGUGUGAAGAAAUCGAAGAAGAAGAAGAAGAGCAAGAAAGAAUCUGGUGGUGAUGAGAUAGGAAACAGUGAAGAAAGUCAAAGUGAUGGUAAGAGGGAGACGGGAAAGAGAAAGCGUGAUGAGGGUGGUUUGGGAGCUGAAGAAAACACAGAAAAUUCCGACAAGGAAACUAACCGGAAAAGCAAGAAGAAGAAACCAUGUGUGAAUCCAGAGGUUGAAGAAGAAAUGAAGGACUCUGCGAAAGAUGCAAAGAAGAAACAAAGUGAGGAUUCAGAGGCUGAAGGAAACGACUUGAACUCUACGAAAGAUGCAAAGAAGAAAAGGAAGAAGAAGAAGCAGAGUGAAGAUCCAGAGGCUGAAGAAAACAACAAUGACUCGACGCAAGAUGCAAAGAAGAAACAAAAUUCAGAGGCUGGAGAAAACGACUUGAACUCUACUAAAGAUGCAAAGAAGAAGGGGAAGAAGAAAAAGAAGCAAAGGGAGGAUCCUGAGUCCGAAGAAAACAACAAGGAAGAGGCAACGAAGAAAAGGAAGAAGAAGUGUAGUAAGAGUGAUGAAAAUGUGACCACCCCAUCAAGUAAAAGCACAAAAAAGGUGAAGUUUUCUGAUCAAGUGGAAGUUUUUCCUGCUGAGGAUGAAGAAAGUGAAGAGGAGGAACAAGAAGAAGAAGAAGAAGAAGGGGUUGAACUGGUGAGAGGUAACCGGUUUACAAAGGAAGAAGACGAGCUGAUAAAGAAAGCUGUGUUAGAGUACGUUGAUAACCAUGCUUUAGGAGAUGAAGGGGUAAACAUGAUUAUGAACUGCAGGUCACACCCACAAAUUAGAGGCUGUUGGAAAGAAAUAACAGCUGCUUUACCUUGGAGGCCACAUAGUGGUGUGUACCAUCGUGCCCAUACUUUAUUUGAAGAAGGAUCCAAAGGAGUAUGGACUAAAGAGGAUUUUGAUAUGCUUAUAGAGUAUCACAAGAAACACGGGAGUGAUUGGAAAGCUCUUGCAGAUGCGAUGGGGAAACACAGGAGGCAUGUGAAAGACGCUUGGAGGAGAGUAAGAAUGGCGUCGAAGAAGAAGAAAGGACAUUGGUCAAGGCAGGAGUAUCAAACUCUCUUUGAGCUUGUGAACAAAGACAUUAGAAUGAAAGCAUUCCAAGAGAAGCGCUCAAAGCAUGGGAUGCUCCGAGAUAACAUCCCUUGGAUGGCGAUAAGCGACCAGCUUGAAACACGGGACCACACUAUCUGUUGCGUUAAAUGGUAUGAUCAGUUGCAAUCACCGAUGGUGGCAAAAGGAAUAUGGGCUAACGUUGAUGACUAUAGGCUCAUGGACGAGCUUACGAAUCUUGAUGCUGCUUGUGUCGACGAUGUGGAUUGGGAUAAUCUUUUGGAUAAUCGAGAUGGUGAAGCUUGUAGAAAGCGGUGGGACCAGAUGGUGCGGAAUAUCGGUUUCCCUGGAACCAAAACGUUUGCAGAACAAGUCGAGAUUUUGUCUGAAAGGUAUUGCCCUGACUUAGCUGAAGACAGAGAAGAUUUUGACAACAGACCUUUUGAUCCUGAAGAUUAAGUCUACUAGAAAGUUUGUUUGUCCCUUUUAUGUUCUACUUUAAUGUGAUGUUAUGUUAGGAACUAAAAACGAAAAGAGAUUACAUUUAGACUUUUGCCAUAAUACUUUCUUAGCUCCUAUGAUAAGAAUUACAAUCAGAGAAGCGAUUAAGAAUCCGCAACAAAGAGCCAAACAGUGUUUAGGCAGCUUUGCAAAGCCUUGGAUACCGACAACAGCCAUUUGAAACAACCCCAAACUAAGCAAAGGCUCAGAUUACUAGGCAAGACAUUGAAGUGAACACAAGUGUGACUCUGAAGUGAAUAAUAUUCAAUGAAAUGAAAAUGAAACUCAGCUCUAAUAGUGUUCUGAAAACUGUUAAUCAGCAUUGACCAACUGAAUGCAGAGAACACUAAAAGAACAAAGGCGGCAAACCAGAAAGAAAGAGAGAAAGAGAGACACAGAGAGAGAUGUUUUGCUUGUUGAAAUGGCGAAUGAAGAUGAGUAAUUAAAGCCAAUCAAAAGGAUUCACCAAUGUAAACUCACUUAUUCUAAGGAAUUCAUAAGAGGCAAGGAAAUUACAGAGUCACACUUGUGUUCAAAUCAAACCAAACAAAACAUGUCAAUAUAUAUUACAUACAAUGGCAAAAAGUCUUGAAACCAUCUUCCUCAGGACUGACUAGUGGUGUUCUCAGCGAGCUUCGUAUUGAACAACUGCAAGAGGAAUAAACGACCAUAUAACUUAACAAUCCAAAUACAAAAGGGAUAUGUAGUAACAAAGGUACAAACUAAAAACCAAAUUCGAAAUCAAAGAACGCUAAGAACUUGCAUCACUCCACAAAAGAAGGACUAAGGAUUAGUAGUGAUUGAACUCACCUCUACGGGUACGCUUCUUGUACAGAAUACGAUACCCACACUCUCUGCAUUGGAUCACAUCUCCAGACUUCAAUGUGUUCUCUUGUCCACAAUCUUCAAAACCUCAAUAUGAACAAGUUAAGCAAAAGCAAUACAACAACAAAAGAAGAUAACCUCUGACGUACACACCAAUGAUGCAUAUCUAAUUCCCUAAAGCAUUUAAACUCACGAAGCUAACAUUUUUACAACACUAAAGUAGUAAACUUUAUCAAAAAUUCAGUUUCAAGAUAAUCCCAGAAUUCGAUGGUCGAUAAAGCUUUCGAGAGGAAGACGAUAGUCGAGCUUACCUCCGCAGACGUAGGUAACGGGUUCGGGAAGUGGAUCCAUGAUUCUCGAAUUGAAUCUAUUCCUAUUCAACAAAGAAACAUAACUGAGUCAGGACCGGACAAGAUUGUAAACAAAAUCUGGAAUCUAGACAAAAGUUUCUCGAUUUCAUACUUACCUUAGGGUUUCUGCAGCAGGAUUAGGAUGAUUUCAAGGGAAUACCGUCGAAAUGACGAGGAAGGAGAUAUCGCGUUUGGUUUGAACAUUACUUAUUUGUAUGGGCUUCGUGAAAAAAAUAACAAUUUAAAUAUGGGCUUACACAUGAAGCCCAUAUACACAAGGUAAAUCUUUGACCGAGACCAAGUUUUACAUUACGUGAAGGUUUGACCCUGGGCACGGGACGAGUAUUUGCCAUUUUUGGUAUACUUGAUACUUGACUUGCCCCGUUAAAGUAUCAAGAUAUUUGUACUUGUACUUGACUUGUUAAUAUCAAAUACUUGCCAAAUUUUUCAUUACUUGCAAGUUACUUGCCUUGUUCCGUUACUUGUAAAAGUACAAAUAGAAUAUUAAAAAAACUAAAAUUUUGGGCCAUAUUUAAUUAAAACCUAUGAUAAUAUUUAAUAUUUUGACCUUUAGGUUUUUGGAAAGCUUUAGAUAUUGAAGUCUGGCAACGUAUUUAACUUUUGAUAAGCAGAUUUUUCUUUCCUUUUUUAUGUUGUAAUCGAUGUGGAACAAAACUAAAAAAAAAAUCAGAGAUUUGAAACGAGUAACGGGUCAAUAAGACCAAGUAGUAAUUUUUUUUUAAUACUUGAUACUUGUCUUAUACUUGCAAGUAAUCUUCUUAAGAUACUUGAUACUCGACUUGAUCAAAACAAGUACUUGGUUUUACGGGACAAGUACGGGUCAAGUAACGAGUACGGGACGAGUUCCAAGUAAUUGUGCCCAGCCCUCGAAGAUGUUUGUUUUUUUUUUUUUGUCAACUUAUACAUUACUGGAAAGCCCAAGAGAAGGCAAUUAUACAGAGAGUUUCAAAACCUACAUCAGGCCCAAUACAAUCUAGAUCAACACAAAGAAAAUCACACGUAAAAAACACGUGUUGAUCUAAAGAAAAUACAGUGACAGGUGGCAUCUGAGGAGAAAAAAUGUUGCAUCGCCGUCGUAAACUCCGCCGACGGUGGUUUUCUUGCCGACGGUCUCACCGCCAAUCAUCAACGCAUCUCCACCACUUGAAAGCUUCAUUAGAAACAUCUCUGCAUCUUCUCUUUCCUUUAGUGACUCUUCGGAUUAGAAUCUGAUUGAAAUUUAGCCAGAACUUUCUUCUUCAAUCAAAAUCACAACCGUUAUCUUUAACUCAAGACUUUUUACCCAACGCCACAAUCGUGCUUUUAAAAAGGUAAUUAGAGAGAUCUUAAUCUCUCAGUCAAGAGAGGAUAAAACCCAAAUCUGAAGAAGAAAUCUCAAAGCAAACCACCAGAUUCAUUCACAACCAUCUCAAUUUUAAGAGGAGUUCAUAUGCGGAAGAGAAACGGGCAUGAAACAUCCGAUCUUAGUCAGAAAAGAAAAUCUGAUCAUAGUCGGAAAAGGAAAACCGAACUUACUCGGAGAACGAAAAACAAACAAAAUAUAGACAUAAGAAAUCUGGAUUCACCAGAAUUUAUUAUCCGAAGAAUAUUAACAGCACAGUGCCGGCGUCGGAAAACACCGGUCACCGGCCAAAAAGAAAACGAUGAAGAGUUUUGAGAGAGUUUUCUCUUACUAGAUUUUUAGAGAGAGAAAAAUUCUAAACACUGAUGAAAUAAACAUCACACGAAGAUGUUUGUUUAUCGGUACUUUUUGAUAAAUUUUUGAUUCCUAGUAACUCUGUUCCAGAACAUACUCUCUAUUAUCUAUGUUUUUGUUAUUUUAUGAUUUCAUAUAAAACUGUAUCUUUGGGGUUUUAAUACCUCUUGAAUGCACAAUUUUCAUACAUAAAAAAUUAAAAUUAUAUUAUUAUUAUAAAAAAGUUGACAAUUUUGCUAUAUAUAUAGUUAUUAUUUUCACGGUUUAGGUUUUUUUGUAGGUUUUUUUUGUUUUCC